Molecule: long non-coding RNA, 62036 nt
Filed under: Triticum aestivum (bread wheat)
Lineage: Eukaryota; Viridiplantae; Streptophyta; Magnoliopsida; Poales; Poaceae
Description: long non-coding RNA (TAES_LNC013510)
Source: RNAcentral
AUUUUUUCUUCGUUUGGACUGUGUUUGAUAUUGAUUUCCUGAAAAGCCAAAAACAGGCAACAAACAACAACUGGCACUGGGCAAUAAGUUAAUAGAUUGGUCCCAAAAAAGAUAUAUAAUUGCAUAUAAAACAACCAAGAUUGAUCUAUAAUAGAAUGGAACAAUAAAAAAUUAUAGAUACGUUGGAGACAUAUCAACGUACACUAUGGUAGAAUAGAUUGGUUGCUCCUUCGUGGACCGUUCCUUUAUGGAUUCUCGCAACUGAGAUCUUUGUGGUCUUAGACCCCUCCUGGGUAGUCUCCAUCAAUGUGGAUGUAAGUUAGCACCAACUACCCAAAACAAUGGAAAAAUCUUCAUUGAGAUAACCCGUGUUUACGUAUCUCUAACUGUAAUUGUUUACUUUCACUUGGAUGUCUUUACAUUCUGUUGCCUAUAAUAUUGUAGACUUGCAUGUGUAGGGUGGUUGAUAGAUUGGUAGAAAAGUCUGAAAUUGCCAAGGAAAUUUAAAUUUUGAAAAAGAAUCCAUCUUUUGUUUUNNNNNNNNNNNNNNNNNNNNNNNNNNNNNNNNNNNNNNNNNNNNNNNNNNNNNNNNNNNNNNNNNNNNNNNNNNNNNNNNNNNNNNNNNNNNNNNNNNNNNNNNNNNNNNNNNNNNNNNNNNNNNNNNNNNNNNNNNNNNNNNNNNNNNNNNNNNNNNNNNNNNNNNNNNNNNNNNNNNNNNNNNNNNNNNNNNNNNNNNNNNNNNNNNCUUGGCCAGAUUAGAAGCCAAGACCGGGCAGUGUGAAGCACCUAUUUACAUUUAAAAGAAACAUUUUCAUGAUUUCACAAUUUCUCACUUUGAAAAUCCUUCUGGUUCGCUACACAAUUCCUACAUAAGUGAGCGGGCUAUAAAGUUUUUAGAAGUACCAAAAUACAACAUCAAGAAUCAGCACAAAAACCAUAGAUUCUUCUUUAAAAAAAUACUACCUCCGUUCCAAAAUAUAAGAAGUUUUGGUAGGCUAAAAUAGCCUAUCAAAAUGUCUUAUAUUUUGACACUGAGGUAGUAUCCAUUUAACUAAUUCACCCACUGGGAUGUUCUCGAGAAGCAUGUUCAAUUAGUUUCAAUAUAAUUUAUUCUACCACCUAUGCGAAAAAUAAUGUGUGUAUCGAAUACACACAACUUCUAGAAACUAUUUCAAAAAUUAAUUUUCCACAUGGAAAAUCCUUUUCCUUCAUAUAUAUUUUAUCAUCUAUGGGAACUCCUUUUGUGCGUAAAAUAAUAUAUUCAUGCAUAUGAAAUAAAAUGUUUCCAUGAAUAUGAUUGACCGUAGUCAUGUGCGAAAUAAAACACAAUGUGAUAUAAAUAUAUUAUAUAGAACAAUAUUCCUUCAGAUAUAUUUAGUUUAUGAAAUUUGUUAAUGGGUCCCAAAUAAAAAAUCCAUGUGAUUUUUUUGCGAAGUACUCAGAUCUAUUAUAGAAGUUCACCGGAAGUACAAAGUAUUUCACGUGAGUUGAUCUAUGUUUUUUUGUACAUGAGUAAUCCCUUUUUCCGAAAAUUCAACAAUCCUUUAUUAAUUUGUGAUCAAGAUAGCAUCAUUUACAAGUAAAUAGGUGAUGCACAAGGGGCAUCAUCAAACCAAGUGCUAGAGGGUGAAAAUCUAGCAAUCCUAGCUAGUUCAUAAGCACCUGAAAUUCCUUUUGUAUGGCAGUGUUCAAAACGAACAUGCGAGGGAUCUCGCGCCAUAGGAUAGCGGUCAUCGAAAUUGCAGCAAUUCCCNNNNNNNNNNNNNNNNNNNNNNNNNNNNNNNNNNNNNNNNNNNNNNNNNNNNNNNNNNNNNNNNNNNNNNNNNNNNNNNNNNNNNNNNNNNNNNNNNNNNNNNNNNNNNNNAAAUAUCUGUCAAAUAAAAUGUUCACACAACUUCAAAGAUUAUUUCUGCACGAAAAUAUGUUCCAUAUCAAAAGAAAAUCUUUCAUAAAAAUAUGUACCAUUGUCCGUUAUAUACGUUCAUCUAUUCAAGGAAAAAUAUUUUCACAUGACAUUGGAAAUGUUUCAUAUUGCACGAACAAAUAUGAUAAACUCGCUCGUGUUAACUAUUUUUCUGUGAAACAAAAGCAUGACAAUCAAAACAAAAAUGUAGACCGUAAACAAAAAUUAGUUAUUUCCUGGAAAAUUUUAAAAAUAACAUUAGCGGGAUAAUUAUUGUUGAAACACAUGAAGACUAGGACAAAAGAAAAAGGGAAAACGGAAGGGGAAAAAGGAAAAAUGUUAUCCAAAGAAAACAGAAAGUAAACUACAUGUGUCGAAGGAAAACGGAGUUUGGAGGAGCGUUCCAAAUUCAGUUGCAAGAACCUCCAAAUAAACGCCAACAAGAAAGAAAUGAGCAUUACUUGCGCGCUUUGCACUCUUAUCUCUUGCCUCUCUCAAUCCAUACAUGUAGCUGCUUAGCUGCAGAUCAUGGACACUAUCCUUGCCCAUUAGGCCAAGAGAUUGAAUCAACGACAAAUAAACUAUCAAUGGCAUCCAACCAUCGUCGCUUCCUCCUCUCCGGCGCCGUCUUGCUCUCAGUCCUCGCCGCCGUGGCCGCCCUGGAGAGCGUUGAGGACGAGUGCCAGCCAGGGGUGGCCUUCCCGCACAACGCAUUAGCCACCUGCCACACCUACGUGAUCAAACGGGUCUGCGGCCGCGGUCCCAGCCGGCCCAUGCUGGUGAAGGAGCGGUGUUGCCGGGAGCUGGCGGUCGUCCCGGAUUACUGCCGGUGCGAGGCACUGCGCGUCCUCAUGGAUGGGGUGCGCGCGGAGGAGGGCCACGUGGUGGAGGGCCGCCUUGGUGACAGACGUGACUGCCCGAGGGAGGCGCAGCGGGAGUUCGCCGCCACGCUGGUCACGGCGGCGGAGUGCAACCUGCCGACCGUCUCGGGAGUCGGGAGUACACUUGGUGCGACCGGCAGAUGGAUGACGAUCGAAUUGCCCAAGUAAUGAAGCGAUCAAGCGAAGUACUCUACUGGCAGAUGGAGUACUGCAUGUAGAAUAAAAGUACUCAAGUGAAAACAAAUAAAUAAAGCUUGUGAGCUGUAUGCGUAUGAUCUAUGGUGUGGACUGUUAAAUUGUUGUCGGUUGAUGAAUAAAAAGGGUUGGAACAAAUAAAUUUGUGAUCGGUUCAUGUACAUGCACUGCUGCGGAAAUUGCAGAUUUGAUCGCCACAAACCACUCCGAACCUUGAGUUGGAUUCUCUAAUCUCAUCUAAGUAAGAAUUAUAUGGUCCUUGCACCUGNNNNNNNNNNNNNNNNNNNNNNNNNNNNNNNNNNNNNNNNNNNNNNNNNNNNNNNNNNNNNNNNNNNNNNNNNNNNNNNNNNNNNNNNNNNNNNNNNNNNNNNNNNNNNNNNNNNNNNNNNNNNNNNNNNNNNNNNNNNNNNNNNNNNNNNNNNNNNNNNNNNNNNNNNNNNNNNNNNNNNNNNNNNNNNNNNNNNNNNNNNNNNNNNNNNNNNNNNNNNNNNNNNNNNNNNNNNNNNNNNNNNNNNNNNNNNNNNNNNNNNNNNNNNNNNNNNNNNNNNNNNNNNNNNNNNNNNGCCGCCUGAGGCAGCCGCCGGGCAAGCCCGGGGCGCCAAGGAUGGUGGCGGCGGGGCCUCGGUUGCCCUGCUCUGCGUGGGGAACCCCGGAUCUGGAGCGGCGGCUCCAUUGGCAAGACACGGCCGGCUAGCAGCCAUGCGGGUGGUGGAUCUGGCGUCCCGGCCGCGCGAGCGGUGGGAUUCGGUGGUCGUUGGCGGAGGCUUCUGCGGCGGUCGGUGCACGCGAUCUGGUGUCUCCCCUCCUCCCGUGUUCGGCAUGCGGGCCAGCCUUGUCGGGCCGCGCUUCCUCUUGGUCGCCGGUUCUGUACAGGAGGCGCUGCUGGUGGCGGGGAUCUAGUUCGGGUGAAAUCCCUGGCCGGCCAUGACCGGCCGCGCCGACGGCGACGCCUGAGGGCGUCGUUCCCCUCCUUGGAGGCGUCGGUAUGGACUGAUCUCCUCUCGUCCCCUUCCCCUAGGUCUCCCGGGCGAAAGCCCUAACUUUGUUGGGCGGCGGCGGCGCUCAUGGUGAUGUUCCCUUCUUGAAGGCGCCGCUUUGGGAACCUUAGGGUUGGGUGACGCUUGUGGGUGGUGGGCGACGGCGGUGGUGCGGGCCUAUCCUAGCAUGGAUUUACGUCCGUUGCUUGGAGAUGGACUCGCGUAGGUGGAGGUCGUCGUCUGGCGUCGUGGUGGCGUCAAUGGCGGAGGACCUGCCAAGGCUCGCGUAGGUGGAGGUCGUCGUUUGGCGUCGUGGUGGCGCCGAUCGUGAAGGACCUGCCAAGGUUGUCACCUCAAUCUGCUCUGAAGAUGGACCAGUGGAAGAUGGCGGCGACGACAUAUGUGAGUGCGUCGGACCGGUUUGAGCCCCGGACCCGGCAGAUGGCUCGGUCGGGGCCUCCGGCUUUAGAUGUUAGGCUUAGGUGAGAGGUCUGGGUAUGUGGCCUAGCUUGCACCCCUUCAUCAUUUGGAUAGGAGUAGCGGCAGAUGUUGCCAAGAUGGUGGAUUAAGGCAUAUUGUUGUUCUACUUUAUAAAGUCCUCGAAAAUAAUCAAUAAAAUGGCCGCAUGCAUCUCCCAGAUAUAGAGGCCGGGGGUCAUCCUCCUUUUCUAAAAGAAAGUAAGAAUUAUAUAACUCUCAUCAAACAUCUGCAGUGUCCGAUAUAAAGCAUCCAGAUUCAGGCCUCCUUUGAUUCAAAGAAAUUCAAUAGGAUUUUUUAAGGAAUGAAAUCCUUUGGAAUUUUUCCUACGUUUGUCCUUUAAUUCAUAGGAUUAAAUCCCAUAGAAUUUUUUCCUUUGAAAUCUUUUGUACUACAUUUCAUAGGAAAUCUAACAUCCAUUCCAACCACUUUUUACAAUUCCUUUACUUUUCAUGUGAAAUCAAAUACUCCUUGCUAAUCCUAUAAAAUUCAAGUGAGCAUGACACUCCAAUCCUAUACUUUUCAUAUUCCUACGUUUUUAAAAUCCUGCGAAUCAAAGAGGCCCUCAGUUUGUUUUUACCGCAGGCUAGUGCGUCGUCGUCAUUUUUCGCAUUGGCCCCUUUCUGUUUCUUGUUUUUAGAGAAAAGACAUGAAGGCCCGACUUCAAAUUAAUGAAGCCAUCAGCUGGCUAAGAUACAAUGGUGCUAAAUUACAUAGGCAAAGGCUUGACCAAAAACUGAGAUAAUACAUGCGCAUAUAACUACCACCAGCAGAAGCAGCGAACAAAGCACCAAGAGAGGCAACGAUCAAGCCGUCGGAUAUCCUGCGCAGCCAGAACGACAAAACCGCAGCCACCCGACGAUAGCAAUUGCCGUGGACAUGAAGAUGCAGACCGCUUCAAGGAAGACAUCGACUCCGUCGUCUGCCGCCUCGGACCAUUGCCGGAGGAGGGACCGAUAUCUCCCCUUCGUCCAGACCAUGCCAUACACGCGGACGAACACCACCGGCCGGUGACAAACAGCAAACAAGGAGAGUAGCCGCUAAAAGAUGUGAAAGGACCCACACACACCACCACCAACGACGGCAACCAGGGGAACCGAGCACCGCUGCCGCCACCAACCACCACGCACCAGGACCACAACCCCCAACCACCCCUUGAACGGAGCCUCCAGGGAAGACCAAAAUGCCAGAAUGCCUUCGCCGUCCGGCCAAAAGGCCAAGACUUUCGUCCGGAGAAGGAUGGGUGAGGAGAGGGCGCACCAAGAAGCCGGACCCGCUCAAGAGGGAGAACGGCACCGGAGCGCCGUCGCCGUCGAGGUCAGCGCGAAAUCGACCAGGGGUUUCCCCCGUUACAAGGCUCCACCACCCCAUCCUUGCCGGCCAGAUCUAACGGGGCAACCACCAGAUCGACAAGAGGAGACCACCGCGAGAGGAAGGGGCCGGGAUGAUGAAGAGCCACCCACCGCUGCAGCAAGACCUCGCUGCCCUCACACCGCCCACGCGGCCGUAAGGGACGGCCAUCACCUACGCGCGCCAUCCACCGGAGAGAUCGACACCGCCAUCUCCACCCAAAGUCUCCGCCCUGGCCUCCAAAGCCCCUCACACCGGUGCGAGGCAGCAAAUCCUCGCCGACACCAUCACCCGGAGACGCGUAUCAGCCGACAGCCUCCUUGAGUGGCGGCGAGGAGGGGGAGGGGUGAGAGGUGGCGGCGGCUAGGGUUUGGGGCCGCUUCGAUGUCGCCCCUCGAGAGCCAGGGGAGGUUGUCCUACAUAGAGAGACUCACCCCUUUCUGUUUCUAUGUUGAGUCGUUUGGGCUUUCUUUGUUUUCAUUCUUUUUUGGCAGCUGUUUCAUUUGGAUUUCAUGUCUAUUGGGCUGAGGGUUUUUUUACUUACGGAGGAGUAGUAGCUGGGAACAUAUUAUCCAUAAAUAUAGGACUCCAAUUACGCCCAAACAUUCGGAAUUUGGCUAUGGAAAAUUGAAUGUUUUUAUGUAAAUUUUAGCGAUGCAAUGAUGGAAACUUUAGUUAGCAAGCAUGUCAAAAUCGUGUGUACUGUAUUUUUUGUCAGGGAAUUGUCAUGUGUGUCAACUAAGCUUGUCAUCCUCGCAUCCCUAAAAUUGCCAUAAAAAACGUUCGAUUCGCCAUGGUCAAAUCCCGUACGUUCGGGAUUUAUCAUUUUCGUAAAUAUAUGAGGAGAGAGAGAGAGAGAGUAAGCUAGAGUGAUAAGGAGCAACAAAAAUAAGUAUACUCAUUCCAACUAAAAAAUACUUUACUCAUGAGGAAAUAUACAAGGUAAUACCUAUUUGACCGUCGUUGCGUCAAACUAUCGCCAAAACACAUAGGCCGAAGCGAGCGAACGAGUUAGAUAGAUGGCCCGGCCCAGUUGUAAGGAAUCCAGUUUUACGAACCUUCUAGAAGGUUCCGAUUUGGUCUUUUUUGCUUUUUGUUUUUCCUGUUAUAUUUACAAGUUUGUAACGGAUUUCCUUCGGGUUUUUUGAGUUUUAUUUUUCCUUUUCCUAUUUUUUUCAGUUUCAUUUUCUUUUUCAAAGAUGUUCACAAAAAUCAAAAUUGUUCACAUUUUCACUAAAUGUCAAAGGUUUCAAAAAAUGUUUAGAAUUUCAAAAAAUGUUGCCAUUUUAUAAAAACAUCUUCAAAAAUUCAAUAAUAAUAGUGUUUUUGAAAAAUGUACUGAAACUUCCAAAAAAUGAUUGCAUUUUUCAGAAAUGUUCUCAAAAUUUUAGAAAUGCCCGCAUUUUUCAGAAAUGUUCUCAAAAUUUUAGAAAUGCCCGCAUUUUUCAGAAAUGAUUUUUUCACUAUUUCAAAAAUGCCCGCAUUUCCAAAAUAAUGUUCUCAAAAUUUUUAAAAUGUUCGCAAUUUUCAAAAUUAUUUAUGAAUUCCAAAACAUUUACAUUCCUACAAAAUUUUCAAAAUCACAUUUACUUUUUCAUGUUUUCCAAAAAUGAUCAAAUUUCAAAAAAUGACCGUCUUCCAAAAGAGUGUUCAUUUUUCAAAUAAAUUGUUUCCUGAGUUUUUCUUAAAGAAAAAGGACAGGAAAAAAAAUGGAAAACAUAAAACCCACUAGAAAAAAUCAAUAUGGUGUCCAAGCCGCAACAACACCCAGUCUACCUAAUCGCUGGACUCGACCUUGUCGCUACAUCAGGAGCGCUAAAUGGGUCGGCCUGCUUGCUCGCUACCUAUGCGAAAGGUCGACCAUUUGACGUAGUUAGUGUCAAAUAGGACCUCCUGAGAUGCAUUUCCGGCCGGUGAAGCUGAUGUAACUUUUUUUGGAAAACAUACUCCACUUUAUUGAUCAAUAAUGAAGCUUACAGGAAUAACGAGAUAACAUGCGGUUUUAUAAACCAUACAUGGCUCCCGUCUCCUAAUGCAGAGCAUGUUUCGCUAAAUUGCAUGCCUCCAUAUUGGAGAGACGACCCUCAUGAACGAAAGAGCAAGAUUCAAACACCUUCAAGUUGAUGCAUCCCUGUUUGCGUCUACUCUGUUGUUGGUUGUGACAUAUCGAGAGCCGACAAAAAUAUGAAUAUAAAAAUAUGAGUGGCCAGAGGAAUUUGGUUCAUGUAUCACUUACGACAUGAAUACCAUAUCGCCCAGAGUGCAAUGGCUAGCUUGGUGAACUCCACAUGUGGUGAAGAAUCAAUCAUGGAGAAGAUCCAACUUCUCGCAUCAGGCUCCGUCAUUGCAAGGAUAUGAUCCAGCAAUUUCUGAACUGGACAACGCCCAUACACAUCAAGCCACAUGGAAUUAGAGAAUGCAUCCACUAGUCCUCGGCUCCGCAAAUCACCCGACAUGAGUGGAUGCCAUAUUUGUAUUAUUAAAUAUAUCGAUCGUGAGCAGCGAACACUGGAAAAGCCUCCACAGGAAGACCUUCAAUUUAGAGGGGACCUUAACCCGCCAAAAUUUAUCCAGGCCUUUUGUUCUCUAGCAUUAUUUGAUGCACUAGAACGACCAUCAAGCCAUGCUUCUCGGUCAUCUUGGUCAUGAUCAAUAUCCUAUAGGCUGGCCAAACUGUGAAUUCCCCCUUCUUCUUAUGGCCCCAUGCCCAAAAAUCUGAAAUUUAUCCGGUACUUAGUGGAAUGUUUAAAAUUGGGUCGGCAUCAAUCAGCAAGAAAACAUCUCAAACUACCUCUUGUUUCCAUCUGAGAGAUAUCAUUAGUUAACUCACUAACAAGCUGAGGCCGGCCGGGUCACAAGAAAACUAUAGGGCGCGUAGCAUAGUCACAUGGGAUCCUGUUGUGUUGCCAUAUUUCUGUUGUUUUCCCAUCCCCUAUGCGUCGAUCAAACCAUUCUUCACCAUCUCCAUAGUCAAUUUACCAUCUGGAGCUGAAUUGCUAAGUGACACAAAAGGUGUGUUCCAACUAUCACGCAAGGAACUCAGCAACAACAAUGUUUGCACCUUACUCAAAGUUGUUCUUCGUGACUGAGAGUUGAUUUAUAUGGUACUGAAAGACAUUCAAGUGAUCAAUCACACUAAUGCCAUCUCGGUACUCAAGCUUUGCAAGUCCUUUGAUUAUCGAGGCCUUGUUCACGGAUGUCUUCCUCUGAUACAUAUACUUCAAUUUCUACCAUAUCUCAUAUGCACUUUAUUCAUUUGCAACAUGGUGGAAUAUAUUAUGACUGAUGUAAAGACGAAUUAUACCUAUUGCCUUUCUGCACACACUCCCCAUUCUUCUUCCAUGUCACCUAUGGGUAUAUUAUCUUUCACAAUUGACUCAUAGAAAUCAUUGCAAUAAAGGAUGUCUUCCAUCAUGGGCUUCCGUAAUGAAUAAUUGGGAGGAUCAAGUUUUAUCAUGCCACGUAUCAUAACGCUUUCUUCCAAAGCCAUUGUGAGCAAAACUUCCAGCAACAAUCAACAAACCGGGAUUGAAAAACCUCUUGAGCAACCAAAGCUCUGAUAACACUCUGUUGGAAAUUAGCACAUGCUUGAUGAUGAUCUCAUAAACUACAGCAAAACAAAGUAACUUCAGCACCACCUCUAUGCACUAAUUCACGAAUCAUUUCUCAAACACGGAAAGAAACAUGCACAUCAACAUAUAGGGUAAGUUUGGUCACCCAAAACUUAGAACCAAACUAAACACUUCUUUUGAAUUUUCCAGUCCAAUGCUACACAUCAGACAUCCAUACUCAGAUAUGUUUGGUGCUAGGCAAACCACAUAGAACAACAACAGAAAUCAACACACCAAUUCUUACGUAAACAAAACUCUGAAUUGGGGUAAAACCACUAGCCGAAGCCAACACAACAAUUUCUUCUCUAUAUAGCACCGGAGUCUCUCAUAUACAUCAAGAUUUCGCUAUCUUGGAUGAUAACAACAAGAUUUGUGGCUCAGGAGCUAGGAAUUGAAACAAUCUCAUCAAAGACGGUAGAAUCACAGAUUGAAGGAGACAUGGUAGUGUAUCUGGACUUCACAGCCUUGGAAACGAGAUCACAUUGUUUGGUGGCAAGCUCUUACUUCAAUCUCCCUCCCUUUCCCUUUCUCUCUUGGUUUUCUCUUCUUCUUCUCCAAUUGAGGCUAUCCUGAUUUUUGCCACCCUUGGUGGUAGUUACUGGAUAGGAGGCUUAACCUCUCCCUUUUCCCUUGUGAAACACUAAAAUGACCCUAUGUCACAACCCUAAUGCGCAGUGAGUUUUUACAUAGCUGUUAGGCCACCUAAAGGCUUCAAUUUGCCAUCUCCUCACAUCCCACACUAGGAGGAUAUCCCAACACACUAGAUAGUGCAAAAUGGGAUCGAUGGCAUAUGAUACACCAUUGAAUACAAUUUUUAUGCGUCACUGACAUGUGGAGUGGAGGAGGGUGAUAGGUGCAUAACGUAAGCCCGAGUUACUGAAAGUAUCUAAAACUUCCUCCUUACUUUUUGCUCCGGAUCAAUCAUGUGUUAUAGAUACUUAUGAGCUUUCUCCGCCCUACUAUGGACACUUCUCUUUCGUAGGAGCUUCUUCAGAAAUAUCUGAAACUUAGCUGCCUCACAGAAAUAGUUGUGGAAAGAAGCCUACGGGAUUACAGUUAUGUUCUUUUUGGCUUAUCUCCCCUUAGCUUUUUCCAAUUUUUUGAUGAAAACUUUAUAAUGCUCCUAGAUUGUAACUGUGCGAUGUUUAACUUAUACACAUGAUUGAUAUGGCAGUAGGCACCUUAUGCCAACUCUAGACGAUCCCCUAUCCGGCUAUAGAGGAGUACAAUUUCGGUUUUACUACUCUAUGUCGCACCUAGCCGAACUCCUAAAAUCUACAAGGGAGUAUAAUUUUUACUCCCCCGCCAAAAAUACCCUCCAAGCCGCCUAAAUAUACUUGGCGCUUGCACGGUCGAGUAAAAGUUGUGUGCCUCUUUCUCCCGCCCUCGUGGCUCCGUCGUUCCCGUCGCUGCCGCCUCACGCGCCUUUGUCACCACCGAUGACCGGCCCCGUCACCGGAAUGGACAGCUAAGACCCUUCCGUGUUGGGGAACGUAGCAGAAAUUCAAAAUUUUCUACGCAUCACCAAGAUCAAUCUAUGGAGUAACCUAGCAACGAGGGGAAGGGGAGUGCAUCUACAUACCCUUGUAGAUCGCGAUGCGGAAGCGUUGCAAGAACGCGGAUGAGGGAGUCGUACUCGUAGCGAUUCAGAUCGCGGUUGAUUCCGAUCUAAGCACCGAAGAACGGUGCCUCCGCGUUCAACACACGUGCAGCCCGGUGACGUCUCCCACGCCUUGAUCCAGCAAGGAGAGAGGGAGAGGUUGGGGAAGAAUCCAUCCAGCAGCAGCACGACGGCGUGGUGGUGAUGGAGGAGCGUGGCAAUCCCGCAGGGCUUCGCCAAGCACCGCGGAAGAGGAGGAGGAGGGAGAGGGGUAGGGCUGCGCCGAAAGAGAGACGUUCUCAUGUUUCUUGGGCAGCCCAAACCUCAACUAUAUAUAGGGGGUGAGGGGGCUGCGCCCCCCUCUAGGGUUCCCACCCCAAGAGGAGGCGGCCAGCCCUAGAUCCCAUCCAAGGGGGGCGGCCAAGGGGAGGAGAGGGGGGGCGCCACUAGGGUGGGCCUUAAGGCCCAUCUGGACUAGGGUUUGCCCCCUCCCACUCUCCCAUGCGCCUUGGGCCUUGGUGGGGGGGCGCACCAGCCCACCUGGGGCUGGUCCCCUCCCACACUUGGCCCACGCAGCCUUCUGGGGCUGGUGGCCCCACUUGGUGGACCCCCGGGACCCUCCCGGUGGUCCCGGUACAUUACCGAUAUCACCCGAAACUUUUCCGGUGACCAAAACAGGACUUCCCAUAUAUAAAUCUUUACCUCAGGACCAUUCCGGAACUCCUCGUGACGUCCGGGAUCUCAUCCGGGACUCCGAACAACAUUCGGUAACCACGUACAUGCUUUCCCUAUAACCCUAGCGUCAUCGAACCUUAAGCGUGUAGACCCUACGGGUUCGGGAACCAUGCAGACAUGACCGAGACGUUCUCCGGUCAAUAACCAACAGCGGGAUCUGGAUAUCCAUGUUGGCUCCCACAUGUUCCACGAUGAUCUCAUCGGAUGAACCACGAUGUCGGGGAUUCAAUCAAUCCCGUAUUCAAUUCCCUUUUGUCUAUCGGUAUGUUACUUGCCCGAGAUUCGAUCGUCGGUAUCCCGAUACCUUGUUCAAUCUCGUUACCGGCAAGUCUCUUUACUCGUUCCGUAACUCACAUCAUCCCGUGAUCAACUCCUUGGUCACAUUGUGCACAUUAUGAUGAUGUCCUACCGAGUGGGCCCAGAGAUACCUCUCCGUUUACACGGAGUGACAAAUCCCAGUCUCGAUUCGUGCCAACCCAACAGACACUUUCGGAGAUACCUGUAGUGCACCUUUAUCGUCACCCAGUUACGUUGUGACGUUUGGUACACCCAAAGCAUUCCUACGGUAUCCGGGAGUUGCACAAUCUCAUGGUCUAAGGAAAUGAUACUUGACAUUAGAAAAGCUCUGAGCAAACGAACUACACGAUCUUGUGCUAGGCUUAGGAUUGGGUCUUGUCCAUCACAUCAUUCUCCUAAUGAUGUGAUCCCGUUAUCAACGACAUCCAAUGUCCAUGGUCAGGAAACCGUAACCAUCUAUUGAUCAACGAGCUAGUCUCCUAGAGGCUUACUAGGGACAUGGUGUUGUCUAUGUAUCCACACAUGCAUCUGAGUUUCCUAUCAAUACAAUUCUAGCAUGGAUAAUAAACGAUUAUCAUGAACAAGGAAAUAUAAUAAUUACCUAUUUAUUAUUGCCUCUAGGGCAUAUUUCCAAUAGUCUCCCACUUGCACUAGAGUCAAUAAUCUAGUUCACAUCACCAUGUGAUUAACACUGACAGGUCACAUCACCAUGUGACCAACAUCCAAAGAGUUUACUAGAGUCAACAAUCUAGUUCACAUCAUUAUGUGAUUAACACUCAAUGAGUUCUGGUUUGAUCAUGUUAUGCUUGUGAGAGAGGUUAUUAGUCGACGGGUCUGAACCUUUCAGAUCCGUGUGUGCUUUACGAAUAUCUAUGUCAUCUUGUGGAUGCUACCACGCGCUAUUUGGAGCCAUUUCAAAUAAUUGCUCUACUAUACGAAUCCGGUUUACUACUGAGAGUCAUCCGGAUUAGUGUCAAAGUUCGCAUCGACGUAACCCUUUACGACGAACUCCUUUUCACCUCCAUAAUCGAGAAAAUUCCUUAGUCUACUAGAUACUAAGGAUAAGUUCGACCGCUGUCAUGUGAUCCAUUCCCGGAUCACUAUUGUACCCCUUGACCAACUCAUGGCAAGGCACACUUCAUGUGCGGUACACAGCAUAGCAUACUGUAGAGUCUACGUCUGAAGCAUAGGGGACGACCUUCGUCCUUUCUCUCUCUUCUGCUGUGGUCAGGUCUUGAGUCUUACUCAAUACUCACACCUUGUAACACAGCCAAGAACUCCUUCUUUGUUGAUCUAUUUUGAACUCUUUCAAAAUCAUGUCAAGGUGUGCGUUCUUUGAAAGUAUCAUCAGGCGUCUUGAUCUAUCUCUAUAGAUCUUGAUGCCCAAUAUGUAAGCAGCUUGAUCCAGGUCUUCCUUUGAAAAACUCCUUUCAAACAACCCUUUAUGCUUUCCAGAAAUUUUACAUCAUUUCGGAUCAACAAUAUGUCAUUCACAUAUACUUAUCAGAAAUGUUGUAGCGCUCCCACUCACUUUAUUGUAAAUACAAGUUUCUAACAAACUUUGUAUAAACCCAAAAACUUUGAUAACUCCAUCAAAGCGUAUAUUCUGACUCCGAGAUGCUUGCUCUAAUCCAUGGAAGGAUCGCUGGAGCUAGCAUACCUUUUAGCAUCCUUAGGAUCGACAAAACCUUUCUGAUUGUAUCACAUACAACCUUUCCUUACGAAAACUGGCAAGGAAACUUGUUUUGACAUCCAUCUGCCAGAUUUCAUAAAUGCAGCUAAUGCUAACAUGAUUCCGACGGACUUUAAGCAUCGCUACGGAUGAGACAAUCUCAUCGUAGUCAACUCCUUGAACUUGUGGAAAUACUCUUAGCCACAAGUCGAGCUUCAUAGACGGUAACAUUACCGUCCAUGUCCGUCUUCUUCUUAAAGAUCCAUUUAUCUCGGAUUUCAUGGCUUCUAACCAUUUGUCGGAAUAUGGGCCCACCAUCGCUUCUCCAUAGCUCGUAGGAUCAUUGUUGUCUAACAACAUAGCUUUCAAGACAGGAUCACGUACCACUCCGAAGUAGCACGCAUCCUCGUCGUCCUACGAGGUUUGGUAGUGACUUGAUCCGAAGUUUCAUGAUCACUAUCAUAAGCUUCCACUUCAAUUGGUGUAGGUGCUACAUGAACAACUUCCUGUGCCCUGCUACACACUAGUUGAAGUGACGGUUCAAUAACCUUAUCAAGUCUCCACCAUCCUCCCACUCAAUUCUUUUGAGAGAAACCUUUCCUCGAGAAAGGACAUGUUUCUAGAAGCAAUUACUUUUGCUUCCAGAUCUGAAAUAGGAGGUAUACUCAACUGUUUUGGGUAUUCUAGAAGAUGCAUUUAUCCGCUUUGGGUUCGAGCUUAUCAGCCUGAAACUUUUUCACAUAAGCAUCGCAGCCCCAAACUUUUAAGAAACGACAACUUAGGUUUCUCUAAACGGUGUCGUCUCAGCGGAAUUGCGUGGUGCCCCUUUUUAAAGUGAAUGCGGUUGUCUCUAAUGCCUAACCCAUAAACGAUAAUGAUAAUUCGAUAAGAGACAUCAUGGUAUGCACCAUAUCCAAUAGGGUGCAGUUAUGAUGUUCGGACACACCAUCACACUAUGGUGUUCCAGACGGUAUUAAUUGUGAAACACUUUCCACAAUGUCUUAAUUGUGUGCCAAACUCGUAACUCAGAUAUCUCUAUGAUCAUAUCACAGACAUUUUAUCCUCUUGUCACGACGAUCUUCAACUUCACUCUGAAAUUACUUGAACCUUUCAAUAAUUCAGACUUGUGUUUCAUCAAGUAAAUACACUCAGCAUCUACUCAAAUCAUCUGUGAAGUAAGAACAUAACGAUAUCCACUGCAUGCCUCGGCACUCAUUGGACUGCAUACAUCAAAAUGUAUUACUUCCAAUAAAUUGCUCUCUUGUUCCAUCUUACUGAAAAUGAGGCCUUUCAGUCAUCUUGCCCAUGUGGUAUGAUUUGCAUGUCUCAAGUGAUUCAAAAUCAAGUGAGUCCAAACGAUCCAUCUGCAUGGAGUUUCUUCAUGCAUAUAUACCAAUAGACAUGGUUCGCAUGUCUCAAUCUUUUCAAAACGAGUGAGUCCAAAGAUCCAUCUACAUAGAGCUUCUUCAUGCGUUCUAUACCAAUAUGACUCAAAUGGCAGUGCCACAAGUAUGUGGUACUAUCAUUACUUUUGGCAUGAACAUGUGUAUCACUACGAUCGAGAUUCAUUUUAGGUGCAAGACCAUUGAAGGUAUUAUUCAAAUAAACAGAGUAACCAUUAUUCUCCUUAAAUGAAUAACCGUAUUGUGAUAAACAUAAUCCAAUCAUGCUCAACGCAAACACCAAAUCUCGAUGGUAGAGGGAGCAUGCGAUGCUUGAUCACAUCAACCUUGGUAACACUUCCAUAUCGUCAUCUCACCUUUAGCUAGUCUCCGUUUAUUCCGCAGCUUUUAUUUCGAGUUACUAACACUUAGCAACCGAACCGGUAUCUAAUACCCUGGUGCUGCUAGGAGUACUAGUAAAGUACACAUUCAUAUAACGUAUAUCCAAUAUACUUCUGUCGACCUUGCCUGCCUUCUCAUCUACCAAGUAUCUAGGGUAGUACUGCUUCAGUGACCGUUCCCCUCAUUACAGAAGCACUUAGUCUCGGGUUUGGGUUCAACCUUGGGAUUCUUCACUAGAGCAGCAACUGAUUUGCCGUUUCAUGAAGUAUCCCUUCUUGCCCUUGCCCUUCUAGAAACUAGUGGUUUUACUAACCCUCAACAAUUGAUGCUCCUUCUUGAUUUCUACUUUCGCGGUGUCAAACAUCGCGAGUUGCUCAAGGAUCAUCAUGUCUAUCCCUGAUAUGUUAUAGUUCAUCACGAAGCUCUAAUAGCUUGGUGGCAGUGACUAUGGAGAACCAUCACUAUCUCAUCUGGAAGAUCAACUCCCACUCGAUUCAAGUGAUUGUAGUACUCAGAUAAUCUGAGCACAUGCUCAACGAUUGAGCUUUUCUCCCUUAGUUUGCAGGCUUAAGAAACUUGUCAGAGGUCUCAUACCUCUUGACGUGGGCACUAGUCUGAAAUCCCAAUUUCAGUCUUCGGAACAUCUCAUAUGUUCUGCGACGUUUCAAAAACGUCUCUCGUGCCACAAUUCUAAACCAUUAGCAUUACUCACUGAACUAUCACGUAGUCAUCAAAACGUGUAUGUCAGAUGUUUCGCAACAUCUACAGACGACGCUGAGGUUCAGCACACCGAGCGGUGCAUUAAGGACAUAAGCCUUCUGUGCAGCAAUCGAGGACAAUCCUCAGUUUACGGACCCAGUCCGCAUAAUUGCUACUAUCAACUUUCAACUAAAUUUUCUCUAGGAACAUAUCUUAAACAGUAGAACUAAAGCGUAUGACAUAAUUUGCAAAGACUUUUUGACUAUGUUCAUGAUAAUUGAGUUCAUCUGAUUAAUGAACUCCCACUCAGAUAGACAUCCCUCUAGUCAUCUAAGUGAUACAUGAUCCGAGUCAAACUAGGCCGUGUCCGAUCAUCACGUGAGACGGACUAGUCAUCAUCGGUGAACAUCUCCAUGUUGAUCGUAUCUGCUAUACGACUCAUGUUCGACCUUUCGGUCUUUUGUGUUCCGAGGCCAUGUCUGUACAUGCUAGGCUCGUCAAGUCAACCUAAGUGUUUCGCAUGUGUUCCGAGGCCAUGUCUGUACAUGCUAGGCUCGUCAAGUCAACCUAAGUGUUUCGCAUGUGUUCCGAGGCCAUGUCUGUACAUGCUAGGCUCGUCAACACCCGUUGUAUUCGAACGUUAGAAUCUAUCACACCCGAUCAUCACGUGGUGCUUCGAAACAACGAACCUUCGCAACGGUGCACAGUUAGGGGGAACACGUCUCUUGAAAUUUUAGUGAGGGAUCAUCUUACUUACUACCGUCGUUCUAAGCAAAUAAGAUGCAUAACAUGAUAAACAUCACAUGCAAUCAAAUAGUGACAUGAUAUGGCCAAUAUCAUCUUGCUCCUUUGAUCUCCAUCUUCGGGGCACCAUGAUCAUCUUUGUCACCGGCAUGACACCAUGAUCUCCAUCAUCAUGAUCUCCAUCAUUGUGUCUUCAUGAAGUUGUCACGCCAACGAUUACCUCUACUUCUAUGGCUAACGUGCUUAGCAAUAAAGUAAAGUAAUUUACAUGGCGUUAUUCAAUGACACGCAGGUCAUACAAAAAAUAAAGACAACUCCUAUGGCUCCUGCCGGUUGUCAUACUCAUCGACAUGCAAGUCGUGAUUCCUAUUACAAGAAUAUGAUCAAUCUCAUACAUCACAUAUAUCAUUCAUCACAUCUUCUGGCCAUAUCACAUCACAUAGCACAUGCUGCAAAAACAAGUUAGACGUCCUCUAAUUGUUGUUGCAAGUUUUUACGUGGCUUGUAUAGGUUUCUAGCAAGAACGUUUCUUACCUACGUACGACCACAACGUGAUAUGCCAAUUUCUAUUUACCCUUCAUAAGGACCCUUUUCAUCGAAUCCGUUCCGACUAAAGUGGGAGAGACAGACACCCGCUAGCCACCUUAUGCAUCUAGUGCAUGUCAGUCGGUGGAACCUGUCUCACGUAAGCGUACGUGUAAGGUCGGUCCGGGCCGCUUCAUCCCACAAUGCCGCCGAAACAAGAUAAGACUAGUAGCGGCAAGAAGAAUUUGCAACAUCUACGCCCACAACUACUUUGUGUUCUACUCGUGCAUAGAAACUACGCAUAGACCUAGCUCAUGAUGCCACUGUUGGGGAACGUAGCAGAAAUUCAAAAUUUUCUACGCAUCACCAAGAUCAACCUAUGGAGUAACCUAGCAACGAGGGGAAGGGGAGUGCAUCUACAUACCCUUGUAGAUCGCGAUGCGGAAGCGUUGCAAGAACGCGGAUGAGGGAGUCGUACUCGUAGCGAUUCAGAUCGCGGUUGAUUCCGAUCUAAGCACCGAAGAACGGUGCCUCCGCGUUCAACACACGUGCAGCCCGGUGACGUCUCCCACGCCUUGAUCCAGCAAGGAAAGAGGGAGAGGUUGGGGAAGAAUCCAUCCAGCAGCAGCACGACGGCGUGGUGGUGAUGGAGGAGCGUGGCCAUCCCGCAGGGCUUCGCCAAGCACCGCCGGAGAGGAGGAGGAGGGAGAGGGGUAGGGCUGCGCCGAAAGAGAGACGUUCUCAUGUUUCUUGGGCAGCCCAAACCUCAACUAUAUAUAGGGGGUGAGGGGGCUGCGCCCCCCUCUAGGGUUCCCACCCCAAGAGGAGGCGGCCAGCCCUAGAUCCCAUCCAAGGGGGGCGGCCAAGGGGAGGAGAGGGGGGGCGCCACUAGGGUGGGCCUUAAGGCCCAUCUGGACUAGGGUUUGCCCCCUCCCACUCUCCCAUGCGCCUUGGGCCUUGGUGGGGGGGCGCACCAGCCCACCUGGGGCUGGUCCCCUCCCACACUUGGCCCACGCAGCCUUCUGGGGCUGGUGGCCCCACUUGGUGGACCCCCGGGACCCUCCCGGUGGUCCCGGUACAUUACCGAUAUCACCCGAAACUUUUCCGGUGACCAAAACAGGACUUCCCAUAUAUAAAUCUUUACCUCAGGACCAUUCCGGAACUCCUCGUGACGUCCGGGAUCUCAUCCGGGACUCCGAAAAACAUUCGGUAACCACGUACAUGCUUUCCCUAUAACCCUAGCGUCAUCGAACCUUAAGCGUGUAGACCCUACGGGUUCGGGAACCAUGCAAACAUGACCGAGACGUUCUCCGGUCAAUAACCAACAGCGGGAUCUGGAUACCCAUGUUGGCUCCCACAUGUUCCACGAUUAUCUCAUCGGAUGAACCACGAUGUCGGGGAUUCAAUCAAUCCCGUAUUCAAUUCCCUUUGUCUAUCGGUAUGUUACUUGCCCGAGAUUCGAUCGUCGGUAUCCCGAUACCUUGUUCAAUCUCGUUACCGGCAAGUCUCUUUACUCGUUCCGUAACUCACAUCAUCCCGUGAUCAACUCCUUGGUCACACUGUGCACAUUAUGAUGAUGUCCUACUGAGUGGGCCCAGAGAUACCUCUCCGUUUACACGGAGUGACAAAUCCCAGUCUCGAUUCGUGCCAACCCAACAGACACUUUUGGAGAUACCUGUAGUGCACCUUUAUAGUCACCCAGUUACGUUGUGACGUUUGGUACACCCAAAGCAUUCCUACGGUAUCCGGGAGUUGCACAAUCUCAUGGUCUAAGGAAAUGAUACUUGGCAUUAGAAAAGCUCUGAGCAAACGAACUACACGAUCUUGUGCUAGGCUUAGGAUUGGGUCUUGUCCAUCACAUCAUUCUCCUAAUGAUGUGAUCCCGUUAUCAACGACAUCCAAUGUCCAUGGUCAGGAAACCGUAACCAUCUAUUGAUCAACGAGCUAGUCUCCUAGAGGCUUACUAGGGACAUGGUGUUGUCUAUGUAUCCACACAUGCAUCUGAGUUUCCUAUCAAUACAAUUCUAGCAUGGAUAAUAAACGAUUAUCAUGAACAAGGAAAUAUAAUAAUAACAUAUUUAUUAUCGCCUCUAGGGCAUAUUUCCAACAUUCCGCUACCCCACUGGCCACCGGUGUUCGCUUGUCGCCGCCGAAAACCACCCCCGCAUUGCCGCCCACGUCGAAAAAGAGGUUGGGGAUGAAAAGCUCCACCGGCCACAAGCACCGGCUCUAGCCGCACGAAAGGCCGCCGAGGUAGUGACUGCCUCUCUGGCGACGGUCGGCCGCCACUCCCUCCGGUGGCAAGAGAACAAGAAAACUGACGGCCACGGUGUCGACCCUCGUCAAGGAGGCCGCGAAGAAGAAGAAGAAGGCCACUCCGGCACCCCAUCCACGUCUGGCGCCUCGUGCGGCGUCUCCGGCCACCCCUACGGCCACUGCUCCGAAGAGGCCAAUAAUAGAUCGGAAGGGAACAAAAUUGCAAAAGAGAGAAAGAAGAGAAAUGCCUACGGUGUCACAUACAAAGAAGAACUUGUGGCCAUGAUUGAGGCCAAGAUGGUGAUGGCGGACGAACGCAAAGAAGAAAAGAUGGGGAGGUGGAAUGAGCUCAAGAUGUUGGCGGAUGACAAAUGGAAGGCCAGGUUGGCGGCCGGAGAGAUAAAAUUGAAGGCGGGGGAUCAUAGACUUGCACUUGAGGAGGAGAGGUUGUGUGAUGCUAAGAAAGCCUGAGAUCAUGCUAUCAUGUUCAUGAAUCCAAUCANNNNNNNNNNNNNNNNNNNNNNNNNNNNNNNNNNNNNNNNNNNNNNNNNNNNNNNNNNNNNNNNNNNNNNNNNNNNNNNNNNNNNNNNNNNNNNNNNNNNNNNNNNNNNNNNNNNNNNNNNNNNNNNNNNNNNNNNNNNNNNNNNNNNNNNNNNNNNNNNNNNNNNNNNNNNNNNNNNNNNNNNNNNNNNNNNNNNNNNNNNNNNNNNNNNNNNNNNNNNNNNNNNNNNNNNNNNNNNNNNNNNNNNNNNNNNNNNNNNNNNNNNNNNNNNNNNNNNNNNNNNNNNNNNNNNNNNNNNNNNNNNNNNNNNNNNNNNNNNNNNNNNNNNNNNNNNNNNNNNNNNNNNNNNNNNNAUGAUGGUGGGUGGUGGUGGUGGCGGCGGCUCAGAGGACGGUGGUGGUGGCUGUGAUGAUGGUGGCCGAGAGGAUGGUGGUGGUCGUGGUGGCCGUGGUGAUGGUGGCCGAGAGGAUGGUGGUGGUGGUGAAGGUGAUGAUGGUGGCAGAGAGGAUGGUGAUGGUGAUGGCGGUGAUGAUUCUUCGGCGAGGACUUUGUUUGAGUUCGUGCAUGCCAUUGGUUGGCUCGAUCCAUAACAUACACAUGUUAUGUUUGGUGAUUUUGGAUUAAACUUUGUGUUUAAAGUGAUGAGUUUUGGAUGAACUAUGCAUAUUUCAAUUUGAAGAUCGCGAUGAUAAAACUAUAUGUUUGUUUAACGGUUAUGCUAUGCAUGUUUUAAUUUGAAUGUUUAAUGAUAUAUAUUAUGAAGUGUCUGAAGUUCAUGCGGUUAGUACACAAAACCUAUGGGAAAAACUCAUUCUACUAAGUUUAGGGGGGUCGAUUACGUGCGGGCAUCCAUAGAGGAGUAAAAGUUUACUCCACUAACAUUACUCGGCCGGAUCCUUCUCUAUUUUUUGAGGGAUCUGCUAGAGUUGGCCUUAGAAAUGGCGAUAGAUUGAUCAGUGACAUGCAACACAAUGCAAGUAUAUGGAUCCCUUUUGAGAGAAUUUUAUUACUUGACAUGAUAUGUCUGUUACAAAUGACCAGGCAGGCAUAACCCGAGAAGAAAUCCCAGCCGGCAACAUGUAUAUAAUGGAUACCGUUUUCGUUGCAUAUCGGUUCAGCUUUUCACACGCAGAUUAAGAGAUACCAAUACACACGCACUCACGCGCACGCAUGCACCAGAUGGAGCAUGCACUCAUCAACCACUCGGUCCAUCUACACAAUAAUGAUGACCUGCAGCAUAGGCUUCCGUUUCUGUAUUUAGCGCAGAAGGAGCAAGAAAGGCACGGCGAAGAAGAGGAGCGGCGCUGCGCGUGCGGCCACACCAACUCCGCCCACUCCCAACCACCUCAUCCUCGCCGCCGCGUUCUUCUGUGCGCCCGUGCUCGGCGCACUCGACGCGCCACCUGGAGAUCACAUCACAUCACAUCAACCACGUUAUUUAGCUCCAAAUUCCAAAGAGCAAACCGUCAAUCAAAUGACAAUCAUCGCUACUGGUUGAAAAUCUUUAGAAGACUAUACUAGUGUGUUAUGCCGAUCUUUAAUUAGUUGAUGCUACAGGUUUAUGCCGUGCAGUGAUAUGUCUUCCAUGCUUUUGGAGGCAUGCUAGAUUGCUAUUACGUACUACUAGCUAACGUCACAUGACACUCCUACUUCAGCACUGUUGGGCUGGUUCUAGCACAUAAAUUUCGCACGUCGCGUCAGGCUCCAACGCCGAGCGGCACUGCUGUCCAGUAGCGGUCCUACAGUUUCUUUUGGCUUUCGUCAAAUUAAUUGUAAUUAGAUUGUUGGCGAUGUUAAUCUGCAUCAAUCACUUCACAAUUAUUAAGUCUCAGCUGAUCAACUCGACUGAACGGGUGCAUGCACAUCAUCAUUAUGCGUCUGCACUAUACAACUCCCUUCUUCAACGGGAACAAUUGUCCGUUUCCUAUUCCUUUUUUAUUUAAAUCCUUGUAAAAUAAUCAAUUGAUAGGAGGAGAAUAACUCACUUGGGCUGCUCUGGGCUGCCUGCUGCUUGGCAAACUGCUCGAAGACCUCCGCGUCCUUGGAAUUGGGCGGCAGGUUCAGUAGCCCUGUAAACGAAACGUUGAAUCCACAACAAGAGCACACUUUGUUAAUUAUACCAGCAAACAAAAUGAGCUUACAACUUUCCCGCAGCGCUAUAAAUCCUACCCCUAGUCCUAGUACUAAAAGGUUAUCAUGUGAUAAUGUAAUUCUUUCAUGUCAUGCAUGAACAAUGAUCACAUGUCAACGACUGCAACGCUCGUACCUACGGCGUUUAACCGGUGAUCAUCGCCAAGGUACUAAACAACUUUUCUUCUUCUUGCGGGGUUACAAAUAGCGACACAUGCAUCUCAACUACACUCACAAUGUUGGUAUCUCAUAAAGACAGGAUAUUCUUUCUAUGGGAAACGACGUUCCCGUCGAUAGUGAGGCGUCUGUGAUGCGUCAAUCUCAAGACCCGUCAGCUCACUCUCUCGGAGAUGCUCAUAGGGAUAAGGGUAUAUGCAUGUAAGUUCAUCAGGAUGAGUAUAUGUAUAUGUUUAUUAGCGUACGCAUUGUUUUUUUAAGCUACACAAUACCCGUCGUUAGUGAGGGGUGUGGCAACAGCAUUCAUGGACCGCAUAGGGAAAUGUUGAUAGGCCGCUAAUUUGGACGCUCCCGGUGGUGGGCGAGAUAUUUUCCUCCUCUUCCCGUGUAGACACUGGUCACUGGUGGAGCGUCGGCGUGACCAUCCCGGGCUCUGCCCCCGCCCCUCCCCUUCCAUGAGAAACUCGGCAUCGUCCUGCUGCUAAUAUCGCUUCUAAUCCCCCGGCUUUGCUAAUCUUCAUGGCUAUAUCUUGUUUGUGAUCCCGUUUAGCCCCCGCUUGAUUUUGCUUCACGCUCCGCCACUGGUGUAACCCCCAUGUUCUAUUCGAAAAAGAAAAAAAAAACAUGUUCUAACACGUUGCUACCAGCAUAUCGCGGUCGAGCACGUACAAAUUACGGGUCUAGAAAGCGUGUUUCUACAAGCAUAUCUUUUAAUGUGGGUGCUGCUUUAAGCGGUGGUGGCGUUUGAAACUGAAGCACAUCAUCAUGAUCCCACUAACAUCAACCAAGUGCAUCUACUCCGUAUGAGCAUGAACGCGGUUGCUACUUCUCUUGCCAUAUGAUACGAUGAUACAUAUCGUUCCAGAUUCUUUCAUAGUAGCAGUCCGUAGUGCUUGAGCUUUAAGGGUCGAGGACGUACUUGGGCAGUCGGAGAUGUUGGCGGGCGCGCUGCAGGCGGCGGGGAGGCCGAGCGCCCUCGUGACGUUGAGCUUCAAGUCCAGGCCGGGAUCGUCGCGGUCCUUGACGAGCACGCACAGGCACUUGGGGCUGGUCUGCAGCACCGUCUUCAGCCCCCCGCAGCAGUCCGGCGUCGGCGCCUGCCCCUGCCCCUGCACGAACGUCAGGCACGUCGCCAGCGCCACCAGCUUGUCGGAGCACUCCGCCCGGUCCGCCGCGACGUCCGCCCCCGCCGCCGCCACGGCCAUGGCCAGCACGGCCGCGACAAGAAAGACUCUCGAACCCAUAUGGAAGCUUAGCUACGAGGUAGUACUGAAACCAGGGUUGACGGUGCUCGCAGGUCGCAGGGCUUGGAGGGGAGACGGUGGUUAAAUAGGGGCCGGGCGCGUACGAACGAGCUGAGUGCGCGAUGGUGCGUUGCGCCUGUGGCGUGGUGUAGUGGUGUGGCGGGGUCGGCAAGCGUGCGGGACAGCAGGAGGUGGCCUAGGGCUUCCGCUUAAUCUCCGGCCUAAUCCUCUACUAAUCUUCCUUUGAAUUUCUCGGGAAAAGAAAAACGGUGCACACCGGUAAACUGGCUCAUGUGCGUACCGGAGGUCUGUCCUCCCGAUGGAUCGCACGGAAGAGAUGGAAAUGAGCAUGCUAGCACAAACAAGCCAGUAGAGGCACGACCGAAGCGCAUGAGAGCAUCUACAGCCCGAAGCGCCCAAACCCGCCAAAAUUCCCGGAUGGACGAUCUGAUCAAUGACCGAUAAAAAAAAUUAAUACAUACAUGCGCCGUAAACGGGUCUCAAACGUCUGAACUCACCGGCACCUCACAUAUCCAGCCUAGGGAUGCCCGAGCAGGUCCGAACCCGACAGGCCUACCCUCUACCUGUAGGAUCCAUUUGCUCUCCUGUCUUCUUCCUCCUCCGUGCCGGACGUCUCGCAGCUCCGACGCUACCCUUGCUCCCCAAUUGUUCCAAGCCUCUACGCCGCCAGAACUGGCAUGGCAAUCCUCUUUCCCGUGCUCGCCAUCGUGGACAUCGUCAUCAGCCCGGACGCCACUGCGGUACGUCCGGCAACUCUCGAGCUACCCCUUGCGCUCUAUGUGUUCGACAGAAUGUCCGACCCGGUUUUUUGUGAUUUAUUGGUAGGGAAAGCCAUGAAUUCUGAUGCUUUGUCGGACGACGAGUAUGGACCGACGGAACUUGAUAAAAUGAUUGAAGCUGAGUUCUUUGAUUGGAUUCGGACAAAGAAGUGGACAUGAUCAUGCUCAUGAGCAUGCAAGAGGAAAUGGACCCGCAGGUGGAGCAUAUUCUGAACUUCAAGGGCUCAAUCAAAGGAAGAAGAGGGAUCAAUCGGGGCAGGGUCUCCAGAGCACGGCUACUGCACAAGGACUACUUUGCUCCAAACCCAACUUUUCUGGAUGAUCCAUGGUUUCAUCGCCGUUUUGGCAUGCAGAAACCAUUGUUUUUGCGCAUUGUGGAGGGAGUGGAGGCACACGACGACUACUUCCAACUCAGAAGGGAUUGUUGCGGCCAACUUUAUUUUUCUGAUAAGCAGAAAUGCACGACUGCUCUGAGGAUACUUGCACCUGGUACUUCCACAGAUGUCGUUGAUAAGAUGAUCCAAAUGGGGGAUAGCACAUGCCUGAAAACUAAUGUCAAGUUUGCCCGCGCCAUGGUGCAGGUGUUUGGAGCAGAGUAUUUGAGAGAACUCAAUGUACAGGAUACAUAAAAGUUGUUGGUUAUUGGAGAGGCCAGAGAGUUCCAGGAAUACUCGGCUCAAUUGAUCGUAUGCAUUGGCAAUGGAAGAACUGCCCAAAAGUUUGCGGGGAAUAUAUCAAGGUCACACCAAAGAGGCUACCAUCAUACUGAAAGCAGUGGCAUCACAUGACUUAUGAAUUUGACAUGCUUUCUUUGGAGUGUCGGGUUCUCACAACGACAUCGAUGUGCUUCAAUGAUCUCCCGUGUUUAGGAGGUGCUUCAGUGAUCUCCCGUGUUUAGGAGGCUUUGUAAUUAGGAAUCACCGCCGUGCAACUACACUGUCAAGGGCCGUGACUACAACAUGGGAUACUCUUGCCGAUGGCAUCUAUUCUUAGAGGUCGGCAUUUGUGAUGACCAUAUUCGAACCACACGACAGCAAACAAAGCCAUUUUGCGACAAUGCAGGAAGCAGCUAGAAAGGAUGUAGAGAGGGCAUUCGAAGUGCUUCAACCUCGUUGGGGAAUUGUUCGUGGAGCUACAAUGAUGUGGGAAUCAAAAACUUUGUGAUAGCUGAUGACAUGUUGUGUUAUUUAGUACAAUAUGAUUGUAGAGUAUGAGGAUGAUGGUAUUGUCCAAAACAAUAAUUUUGAAGCGCAUGGAGAAAAAAUUCAAAUCCCCGAAGAACAAGAUGCAAAUCAGUUUAUGAACUUUCUGCAAAUGCAUCACAAUCUUCGAGAUCAUCGGGUGCAUGCACAGCUACACAAUAAUCUUAUGGAGCAUAUGUGGACCCACAAUGGAAACCAGUGGACUAAUGCUUGAGUUGUGCACUUAAAAUAAAUUUAUGUAAAAACUAUGCAUUUUUGUACCAACAUCUGUUAUUUACGUGCGACAUUGACAUGUAUGAUGAACGCGCAUGGAUUUGAGAGUCUGCAUUUGAGGUAUGUUGCUGACGGGCACAAGAUAUGAGGGGUGGUCUAAAUGCAUCCACAGAUGUGCUUGGACACGUCCGCGAACAUAUAGAGGGCGGAUUUGACAAGUCCGCCUGUAGAUGCUCUAACAAACGCAAAUACCAGUAACAUGUAAUUCGCCAUAUACUAGACAGAUUUAUUUUUUCAUGCUGGUCUAUAAAAAACAGAAAAAAAAAUCGCAAAAAACUAACAGCAUCAUGUCACCGCAAAACAUGAUGAACCAAUCACGACGCACGUACUGAUCGUUCGUAAAUGAAGUCACCGUAGCUGUUACAGAAGUCGUGUUGUUAACGACAACGUUGGUGAAACCGGUCAAAGGAGACAGCGGCGGAGAUGACUAUGAGACGUUGCCUGACUUGGCAGAAAGAUGCAUGACUCGCGGUGAUGACCAUGAAAAGUCAUGUGUGGCGCUUUAAAAGAAACUAAUUUCUGAUCAUAUCUUAGCAUUGUGCAGUCGCACCACUUUUCCUGAUCUGAUGUGCUGGACGACCAUUUUGCCAACGCCUAAUGUCUUCUGAUGGCUCUGCCAUAUCUCAACUUCAGUCUAGGUUUGGCUUUUGAGGCGUUCAUUUGGAAGCAAUUCAGAGUUCCCAUCAAUCACUUUGAAGGUGACAAUUUCAAAGGUUUUCCGCUGGUACACGAUCCAAACUCCAACCGAAAGAAAACUUGGUAAAUCUCGUUGUGCAAUCUUGUAUUGGUGGGCAUUCUUCUCGUUUCAAAUCGAAGUCUCAAGAAUUGGUAUUUUAAGUUCUCGGUCCACUCUCAUGAGGUGGACUUUUCUAUCAACAAAGUGGGCAAUAUUCCUAACGAUUUAUUCAAUUUGAUUUUUCUCCUUUGGGGUUUGGAUGAUCCAGAUGCUAAGUUUGAUUUCUAGUGUUUUCAAAGUGAAUUUGAUAAAGGAUGGGCAGUGGUUUCUAGGUCUAAGGCUUGUACUCCCUCCAGUCUCUUAUACAAGGCCACUAUGAAAAAUACAUUUUGCAUCUAUACAAGGCCACUAACAGUAACCGAGGCAAAAUUAAUGAUGUUUUCUCGUACUAGCAACUUAUUGAAUACUUGCAUGCAUGUAGUCAUAAUGACACUAUGCUACUUCCUUCUCAUUCCUUCCUUGCAUGCAUGCGGUCGUAUUAAUGAUCCCGGUUAACGAGAAAAAAGUUGACAUGGAAAGCAUUCAUUAAAUUUUACCUUGGUACCUGUAAUUUAAGUUUGUGGCCUUGUAUAAGGGAAUGGAGGGAGUAGUUCCUAUGAAGAUGUGGUAAGUUCCUAGAUUUUUCCAUGAUCAGAUCUUGGCUUCUAGAUCAAACUAAUAUUUAGCGAAUUUGAUUUAUGAACGUCUCGGUGGCCAUCAUAUUUCAGUUUCAUCGGUCUUAACUGCCCCCAACAACAACGCCUUAGGCAGGGCGGGAUCUAAGAGUUUUCAAAACUCUAAUUCGAAUGCUCCAAGGCCCCGACCUGCUUCUCUUGGUCUGGACGAUGCCCAUAAUAGAGACUUAUGUGUGUGGUGUUUGGACUUUGGUCAUUUGAGCCCUAGCUACCGAAAUCGAAUCAAAUGCAGGGGUUGCAAAUGGCGGGGCCAUGCUUUUGUCAGUUGCCAAUUCAAGAAUGGUUAUUCUGUGAUUAUCAUUUUGGCUUCCUCCUUGGCUGCUCCUAAUCAAGCUAUUGUUCCCAGAUUAUGACUAAUGGGAGUAAUCAACAGUAGUUGCCCCUGCCAGCGAUGAAUAGAGCCGUUCUAGACCGAUUGCAAAGUGAGUUGAGGUUGGUUACUAUAAGAUACCUACUAGCACCACACUCUGUCCCCAUUCAUCGGCUCCCCCGCUCCCCUCCUCCAGAGCAAUCUCUCCGGUGAGCUCGCCGAUGGUGACCUUACCCUUUGUCUAUGCGCCAUUCCUCCCGGCGGGCUUCCAUGCGACUAAGGUGGAAAUGUUGGGAACGUAGUAAUUUUAAAAAAAAUUCUAUGCACACAUAGGAUCAUGGUGAUGCAUAGCAACGAGAGGGGAGAGUAUUGUCCACGUACCCUCGUAGACCGAAAGCGGAAGCGUUAGCACAACACGGUUGAUGUAGUCGUACGUCUUCACGAUCCGACCGAUCCAAGUACCGAACGUACGGCACCUCCGAGUUCAGCACACGUUCAGCUCGAUAACGUCCCGCGAACUCUGAUCCAGCAGAGCUUCACGGGAGAGUUCUGUCAGCACGACGGCAUGGUGACGGUGAUGAUGUUGCUACCGACGCAGGGCUUCGCCUAAGCACCGUUACGAUAUGACCGAGGUGGAAUAUGGUGGAGGGGGCACCGCACACGGCUGGAAUAGAUCAACAGAUCAACUUGUGUGUCUAGAGGUGCCCCCUGCCCCCGUAUAUAAAGGAUCAGGGGGAGGAGGCCGGCGGCCAGGAGGAGGGCGCGCCAGGCAGGAGUCCUACUCCCACUGGGAGCAGGACUCCCUCUUUUCCUAGUUGGAGUAGGAGGGGGAAAGGAAGGGAAGGAGAGAGGGGGAAGGAAAGGGGCCCCCCCCCUCCUUGUCCAAUUCGAACUAGUGGGGGAGGGGGCGUGCGGCCAGCCCAAGCCGCCCCUCCUCUUCUCCACUAAGGCCCAUCUUGGCCCAUUAAGCUCCCCAGGGGGUUCCGGUAACCCCCCGGUACUCCGGUAUAUGUCCGAAACUCCCCGAAACCAUUCCGGUGUCCGAACAUAGUCAUCCAAUAUAUCGAUCUUUAUGUCUCGACCAUUUCGAGACUCCUCGUCAUGUCCGCGAUCACAUCCGGGACUCCGAACUACCUUCGGUACAUCAAAACACAAAAACACAUAAUACAAUCGUCAUCGAACUUUAAGCGUGCUGACCCUACGGGUUCGAGAACUAUGUAGACAUGACCGAGACACGUCUCCGGUCAAUAACCAAUAGCGGAACCUGGAUGCUCAUAUUGGCUCCCACAUAUUCUACGAAGAUCUUUAUGAAGGAAAUAUGCCCUAGAGGCAAUAAUAAAGUUAUUAUUUAUUUCCUUAUAUCAUGAUAAAUGUUUAUUAUUCAUGCUAGAAUUGUAUUAACCGGAAACAUAAUACUUGUGUGAAUACAUAGAAAAACAGAGUGACACUAGUAUGCCUCUACUUGACUAGCUCGUUGAUCAAAGAUGGUUAUGUUUACUAGCCAUUGACAUGAGUUGUCAUUUGAUUAACGGGAUCACAUCAUUAGGAGAAUGAUGUGAUUGACUUGACCCAUUCCGGUAGCUUAGCACACGAUCGUUCAGUAUUCUGCUAUUGCUUUCUUCAUGACUUAUACAUGUUCCUAUGACUAUGAGAUUAUGCAACUCCCGUUUACCAGAGGAACACUUUGUGUGCUACCAAACGUCACAACGUAACUGGGUGAUUAUAAAGGUGCUCUACAGGUGUCUCCGAAGGUACUUGUUGGGUUGGUGUAUUUCGAGAUUAGGAUUUGUCACUCUGAUUGUCGGAGAGGUAUCUUUGGGCCCACUCGGUAAUGCACAUCACUAUAAGCCUUGCAAGCAUAGUAACUAAUGAGUUAGUUGCGGGAUGAUGUAUUACGGAAUGAGUAAAGAGACUUGCCGGUAACGAGAUUGAACUAGGUAUUGAGAUACCAACGAUCGAAUGUCGGGCAAGUAACAUACCGAUGACAAAGGGAACAACGUAUGUUGUUAUGCGGUUUGACCGAUAAAGAUCUUCGUAGAAUAUGUGGGAGCCAAUAUGAGCAUCCAGGUUCCGCUAUUGGUUAUUGACCGGAGACAUGUCUCGGUCAUGUCUACAUAGUUCUUGAACCCGUAGGGUCCGCACGCUUAAAGUUUGAUGACGGUUAUAUUAUGAGUUUAUGUGUUUUGAUGUACCGAAGAUAGUUUGGAGUCCCGGAUGUGAUCACGGACAUGACGAGGAGUCUCGAAAUGGUCGAGACAUAAAUAUUGAUAUAUUGAAAGCCUAUAUUUGGAUAUCGGAAGUGUUUCGGGUGAAAUCGGGAUUUUACCGGAGUACCGGGGGUUGCCGGAACCCCCCCCCCCCCGGGGGGUUUAAUGGGCCUACAUGGGCCUUAGUGGAGAAGAGGAGGGGCAGCCAGGGCAAGCCGCGCGCCCCCUCCCCCUCUAGUCCGAAUUGGACAAGGAGGGGGGGCGGCGCCCCCCUUUCCUUCCUCUCUCCCUCCUCCUUCCCCCUUCUCCUACUCCAACUAGGAAAGGAGGGAGUCCUACUCCCGGUGGGAGUAGGACUCCUCCUGGCGCGCCUCCUCCUGGCCGGCCGCCUCUCCCUCCCUUGAUCCUUUAUAUACAGUGGCAGGGGGCACCCCAUAGACACAACAUUUGAUCUCUUAGCCGUGUGCGGUGCCCCCCUCCACCAUAAUCCACCUCGAUAAUAUCGUAGUGGUGCAUAGGCGAAGGCCUGCAUUGGUAGAGCAUCAUCAUCGUCACCACGCCGUCGUGCUGACGGAACUCUCCCUCAAAGCUCGGCUGGAUCGGAGUUCGAGGGACGUCAUCGAGCUGAACGUGUGCUGAACUCGGAGGUGCCGUGCGUUCGGUACUUGAUCGGUCGGAUCGUGAAGACGUACGACUACAUCAACCGCGUUGUGCUAACGCUUCCGCUUUCGGUCCACGAGGGUACGUGGUUAACACUCUCCUCUCUCGUUGCUAUGCAUCACCAUGAUCUUGCGUGUGCGUUGAAUUUUUUUGAAAUUACUACGUUCCCCAACAGUGGCAUCCGAGCCAGGUUUUAUGCGUAGAUGUUAUAUGCACGAGUAGAACACAAGUGAGUUGUGGGCGAUACAAGUCAUACUGCUUACCAGCAUGUCAUACUUUGGUUUGGCGGUAUUGUUGGAUGAAGCGGCCCGGACCGACAUUACGCGUACGCUUACGCGAGACUGGUUCUACCGACGUGCUUUGCACACAGGUGGCUGGCAGGUGUCAGUUUCUCCAACUUUAGUUGAAUUGAGUGUGGCUACGCCCGGUCCUUGAGAAGGUUAAAACAGCACUAACUUGACGAACUAUCGUUGUGGUUUUGAUGCGUAGGUAAGAAUGAUUCUUGCUCAGCCCGUAGCAGCCACGCAAAACUUGCAACAACAAAGUAGAGGACGUCUAACUUGUUUUUGCAUGGCAUGUUGUGAUGUGAUAUGGUCAAGGCAUGAUGCUAUAUUUUAUUGUAUCAGAUGAUCAUGUUUUGUAACCGAGUUAUCGGCAACUGGCAGGAGCCAUAUAGUUGUCGCUUUAUUGUAUGCAAUGCAAUCGCCCUGUAAUGCUUUACUUUAUCACUAAGCGGUAGCGAUAGUCGUAGAAUCAUAAGUUGGCGAGACGACAACGAUGCUAUGAUGGAGAUCAAGGUGUUGCGCCGGUGACGAUGGUGAUCAUGACGGUGCUUCGAAGAUGGAGAUCACAAGCACAAGAUGAUGAUGGCCAUAUCAUAUCACUUAUAUUGAUUGCAUGUGAUGUUUAUCUUUUAUGCAUCUUAUCUUGCUUUGAUUGACGGUAGCAUUAUAAGAUGAUCUCUCACUAAAUUGUCAAGGUAUAAGUGUUCUCCCUGAGUAUGCACCGUUGCGAAAGUUCUUCGUGCUGAGACACCACGUGAUGAUCGGGUGUGAUAGGCUCUACGUUCAAAUACAACGAGUGCAAAACAGUUGCACACGCGGAAUACUCAGGUUAAACUUGACGAGCCUAGCAUAUGCAGAUAUGGCCUCGGAACACUGAGACCGAAAGGUCGAGCGUGAAUCAUAUAGUAGAUAUGAUCAACAUAGUGAUGUUCACCAUUGAACUACUCCAUCUCACGUGAUGAUCGGACAUGGUUUAGUUGAUUUGGAUCACGUGAUCACUUAGAUGAUUAGAGGGAUGUCUAUCUAAGUGGGAGUUCUUAAGUAAUAUGAUUAAUUGAACUUUAAUUUAUCAUGAACUUAGUACCUGAUAGUAUUUUGCUUGUCUAUGUUGAUUGUAGAUAGAUGGCCCGUGCUGUUGUUCCGUUGAAUUAUAAUGCGUUCCUUGAGAAAGCAAAGUUGAAAGAUGAUGGUAGCAAUUACACGGACUGGGUCCGUAACUUGAGGAUUAUCCUCAUUGCUGCACAGAAGAAUUACGUCCUGGAAGCACCGCUAGGUGCCAGACCUGCUGCAGGAGCAACACCAGAUGUUAUGAACAUCUGGCAGAGCAAAGCUGAUGACUACUCGAUAGUUCAGUGUGCCAUGCUUUACGGCUUAGAACCGGGACUUCAACGACGUUUUGAACGUCAUGGAGCAUAUGAGAUGUUCCAGGAGUUGAAGUUAAUAUUUCAAGCAAAUGCCCGGAUUGAGAGAUAUGAAGUCUCCAAUAAGUUCUACAGCUGCAAGAUGGAGGAGAAUAGUUCUGUCAGUGAGCAUAUACUCAAAAUGUCUGGGUAUAACAAUCACUUGAGGAGUUAAUCUUCCGGAUGAUAGCGUCAUUGACAGAAUUCUUCAAUCACUGCCACCAAGCUACAAGAGCUUCGUGAUGAACUAUAACAUGCAAGGGAUGGAUAAGACAAUUCCCGAGCUCUUCGCAAUGCUAAAGGCUGCAGAGGUAGAAAUCAAGAAGGAGCAUCAAGUGUCGAUGGUUAACAAGACCACCAGUUUCACGAAAAAGGGCAAAGGGAAGAAGAAGGGGAACUUCAAGAAAAACAGCAAACAAGUUGCUGCUCAGGAGAAGAAACCCAAGUCUGGACCUAAGCCUGAGACUGAGUGCUUCAACUGCAAACAGACUGGUCACUGGAAGCGGAACUGCCCCAAGUAUUUGGCGGAUAAGAAGGAUGGCAAGGUGAACAAAGGUAUAUGUGAUAUACAUGUUAUUGAUGUGUACCUUACUAAUGCUCGCAGUAGCACAUGGGUAUUUGAUACUGGUUCCGUUGCUAAUAUUUGCAACUCGAAACAGGACUACGGAUUAAGCGAAGAUUGGCUAAGGACGAGGUGACGAUGCGCGUGGGAAAUGGUUCCAAAGUCGAUGUGAUCGCAGUCGGCACGCUACCUCUAUAUCUACCUUCGGGAUUAGUUUUAGACCUGAAUAAUUGUUAUUUGGUGCCAGCGUUGAGCAUGAACAUUAUAUCUGGAUCUUGUUUGAUGCGAGACGGUUAUUCAUUUAAAUCAGAGAAUAAGAUGCAACCGGAAGGUUUUGUCGAUCCAAAGGGAGCUAACAAAGUGUGCAAGCUCCAGCGAUCCAUUUAUGGACUGGUGCAAGCCUCUCGGAGUAGGAAUAAAUGCUUUGAUAGUGUGAUCAAAGCAUUUGGUUUCAUACAAACUUUUGGAGAAGCCUGUAUUUACAAGAAAGUGAGUGGGAGCUGUGUAGCAUUUCUGAUAUUAUGUGUGGAUGAAAUAUUGUUGAUUGGAAAUGAUAUAGAAUUUCUGGAUAGCAUAAUGGGAUACUUGAAUAAGAGUUUUUCAAUGAAGGACCUCGGUGAAGCUGCUUAUAUAUUGGGCAUCAAGAUCUAUAGAGAUAGAUGAAGACGCUUAAUUGGACUUUCAUAAAGCACAUACCUUGACAAAGUUUUGAAGAAGUUCAAAAUGGAUCAAGCAAAGAAAGGGUUCUUGCCUGUGUUACAAGGUGUGAAUUGAGUAAGACUCAAUGCCCGACCACUGCAGAAGAUAGAGAGAAGAUGAAAGAUGUUCCCUAUGCUUCAGCCAUAGGCUCUAUCAUGUAUGCAAUGCUGUGUACCAGACCUGAUGUGUGCCUUGCUAUAAGUUUAGCAGGGAGGUACCAAAGUAAUCCAGGAGUGGAUCACUGGACAGCGGUCCAGAACAUCCUAAAAUACCUGAAAAGGACUAAGGAUAUGUUUCUCGUUUAUGGAGGUGACAAAGAGCUAGUCGUAAAUGGUUACGUCGAUGCAAGCUUUGACACUGAUCCGGACGAUUCUAAAUCGCAAACCGGAUACGUGUUUACAUUGAACGGUGGAGCUAUCAGUUGGUGCAGUUCUAAACAAAGCGUUGUGGCGGGAUCUACGUGUGAAGCGGAGUACAUAGCUGCUUCGGAAGCAGCAAAUGAAGGAGUCUCGAUGAAGGAGUUCAUAUCCGAUCUAGGUGUCAUACCUAGUGCAUCGGGUCCAAUGAAAAUCUUUUGUGACAAUACUGGUGCAAUUGCCUUGGCAAAGGAAUCCAGAUUUCACAAGAGAACAAAGCACAUCAAGAGGUGCUUCAAUUCCAUCCGGGAUCUAGUCCAGGUGGGAGACAUAGAAAUUUGCAAGAUACAUACGGAUCUGAAUGUUGCAGACCCGUUGACUAAGCCUCUUCCACGAGCAAAACAUGAUCAGCACCAAGGCUCCAUGGGUGUUAGAAUCAUUACUUUGUAAUCUAGAUUAUUGACUCUAGUGCAAGUGGGAGACUGAAGGAAAUAUGCCCUAGAGGUAAUAAUGAAGUUAUUAUUUAUUUCCUUAUAUCAUGAUAAAUGUUUAUUAUUCAUGCUAGAAUUGUAUUAACCGGAAACAUAAUACUUGUGUGAAUACAUAGACAAACAGAGUGUCACUAGUAUGUCUCUACUUGACUAGCUCGUUGAUCAAAGAUGGUUAUGUUUCCUAGCCAUUGACAUGAGUUGUCAUUUGAUUAACGGGAUCACAUCAUUAGGAGAAUGAUGUGAUUGACUUGACCCAUUCCGUUAGCUUAGCACACGAUCGUUUAGUAUUCUGCUAUUGCUUUCUUCAUGACUAAUACAUGUUCCUAUGACUAUGAGAUUAUGCAACUCCCGUUUACCGAAGGAACACUUUGUGUGCUACCAAAUGUCACAACAUAACUGGGUGAUUAUAAAGGUGAUCUACAGGUGUCUCCGAAGGUACUUGUUGGGUUGGCGUAUUUCGAGAUUAGGAUUUGUCACUCCGAUUGUCGGAGAGAUAUCUCUGGGCCCACUCGGUAAUGCACAUCACUAUAAGCCUUGCAAGCAUAGUAACUAAUGAGUUAGUUGCGAGAUGAUGCGUUACAGAACGAGUAAAGAGACUUGCCGUUAACGAGAUUGAACUAGGUAUUGAGAUACCAACGAUCGAAUCUCGGGCAAGUAACAUACCGAUGACAAAGGGAACAACGUAUGUUGUUAUGCGGUUUGACCCAUAAAGAUCUUCGUAGAAUAUGUGGGAGCCAAUAUGAGCAUCCAGGUUCCGCUAUUGGUUAUUGACCGGAGACGUGUCUCGGUCAUGUCUACAUAGUUCUCGAACCCGUAGGGUCCGCACGCUUAAAGUUUGAUGACAGUUAUAUUAUGAUUUUAUGUGUUUUGAUGUACUGAAGAUAGUUCGGAGUCCCGGAUGUGAUCACGGGCAUGACGAGGAGUCUCGAAAUGGUCGAGACAUAAAGAUUGAUAUAUUGGAAGCCUAUAUUUGGAUAUCAGAAGUGUUCCGGGUGAAAUCGGGAUUUUACCGGAGUGCCGGGGGGUUACCGGAACCCCCCCCCCGGGUUUAAUGGGCCUACAUGGGCCUUAGUGGAGAAGAGGAGGGGCGUACAGGGCAGGCCGCACGCCCCCUCCCCCACUAGUUCGAAUUGGACAAGGAGGGGGGCGGCGCCCCCCUUUCCUUCCUCUCUCCCUCCUCCUUCCCCCUUCUCCUACUCCAACUAGAUAAGGAGGGAGUCCUACUCCGGGUGGGAGUAGGACUCCUCCUAGCGCGCCUCCUCCUGGCCGGCCGCCUCUCCCUCCCUUGCUCAUUUAUAUAUGGGGGCAGGGGGCACCCCAUAGACACAACAAUUGAUCUCUUAAUCUCUUAGCCGUGUGCGAUGCCCCCCUCCACCAUAAUCCACCUCGAUAAUAUCGCAGCGGUGCUUAGGCCAAGCUUUUGCGUCGGUAGAGCAUCAUCAUCGUCACCACGCCGUCGUGCUGACGAAACUCUCCCUCAAAGCUCGGCUAGAUCGGAGUUCGAGGGACGUCAUCGAGCUGAACAUGUGUUGAACUCGGAGGUGCCGUGCGUUCGGUACUUGAUCGGUCGGAUCGUGAAGACGUACGACUACAUCAACCGCGUUGUGCUAACGCUUCCGCUUUUGGUCUACGAGGGUACGUGGACAACACUCUCCUCUCUCGUUGCUAUGCAUCACCAUGAUCUUGCGUGUGCGUAGGAAAAUUUUUGAAAUUACUACGUUCCCCAACACUUUAUCGGUCAACCCGCAUAACAACAUACGUUGUUCCCUUUCUCAUCAGUAUGUUACUUGCCCGAGAUUCGAUCGUCGGUAUCUCAAUACCUAGUUCAAUCUCGUUACCCGCAAGUCUCUUUACUCGUUUCAUAACGCAUCAUCUCGCAACUAACUCAUUAGUUACAAUGCUUGCAAGGCUUAUAGUGAUGUGCAUUACCGAGUGGGCCCAGAGAUACCUCUCCGACAAUCGGAGUGACAAAUCCUAAUCUCCAAAUACGCCAACCCAACAAGUACCACAGUUCAUAAGGCGUCGUCUCAACGGAUUUUGAUGGUGCCCUAUUUAAUGUGCAUGCAGCCGUCUCUAAAGCAUAACCCCAAAACGAUAGCGGUAAAUCAGUAAGAGACAUCAUAGACCGCACCAUAUCUAGUAAAGUACGAUUACGACGUUCGGACACACCAUUAUGUUGUGGUGUUCCGGGUGGCGUGAGUUGCGAAACUAUUCCGCAUUGUUUAAUAUGUAGGCCAAACUCGUAACUCAAAUAUUCUCCUCCACUAUCAGAUCGUAGAAAUUUUAUUUUCUUGUUACGAUGAUUUUCCACUUCACUCUGAAAUUCUUUGAACUUUUCAAAUGUUUCGGACUUAUGUUUCAUUAAGUAGAUAUACCCAUAUCUACUUAAAUCAUCUGUGAAGGUGAGAACAUAACAAUACCCGCCGCGAGCCUCAACACUCAUUGGACCACAUACAUCAGUAUGUAUGAUCUCCAACAAAUCAGUUGCUCGCUCCAUAGUUCCGGAGAACGACGUUUUAGUCAUCUUCCCCAUGAAUAUGUGUGUCACUACUAUCGAGAUUCAGCAAAAAUAGACCACUCUUCAAGGGUGCAUGACCAUAAAAGAUAUUACUCAUAUAAAUUGAACAACCAUUAUUCUCUGAUUUAAAUGAAUAGCCGUCUCGCAUCAAACAAGAUCCAGAUAUAAUGUUCAUGCUCAACGCUGGCACCAAAUAACAAUUAUUUAGGUCCAAAACUAAUCCCGAAGGUAGAUGUAGAGGUAGCGUGCCGACCGCGAUCACAUCAACUUCGGAGCCAUUUCCCACGCGCAUCGUCACCUCGUCCUUAGCCAAUCUUCGCUUAAUCCGUAGCCCCUGUUUCGAGUUGCAAAUAUUAGCAACGGAACCAGUAUCAAAUACCCACGUACUACUGUGAGCAUUAGUAAGGUACACAUCAAUAACAUGAAUAUCACAUAUACCUUUGUUCACCUUGCCAUCCUUCUUAUCCGCCAAAUACUUGGGGCAGUUCCGCUUCCAGUGACCAGUCUGUUUGCAGUAGAAGCACUCAGUCUCAAGCUUAGGUCCAGACUUGGGUUUCUUCUCCUGAGCAGCAACUUGUUUGCUGUUCUUCUUGAAGUUCCCCUUCUUCUUCCCUUUGCCCUUUUUCAUGAAACUGGUGGUCUUGUUAACCAUCGACACUUGAUGCUCCUUCUUGAUUUCUACCUCUGCAGCCUUUAGCAUUGCGAAGAGCUCGGGAAUUGUCUUAUCCAUCCCUUGCAUGUUAUAGUUCAUCACGAAGCUCUUGUAGCUUGGUGGCAGUGAUUGAAGAAUUCUGUCAAUGACGCUAUCAUCCGGAAGAUUAACUCCUCAAGUGAUUGUUAUACCCAGACAUUUUGAGUAUAUGCUCACUGACAGAACUAUUCUCCUCCAUCUUGCAGCUGUAGAACUUAUUGGAGACUUCAUAUCUCUCAAUCCGGGCAUUUGCUUGAAAUAUUAACUUCAACUCCUGGAACAUCUCAUAUGCUCCAUGACGUUCAAAACGUCGUUGAAGUCCCGGUUCUAAGCCGUAAAGCAUGGCACACUGAACUAUCGAGUAGUCAUCAGCUUUGCUCUACCAGAUGUUCAUAACAUCUGGUGUUGCUCCUGCAGCAGGUCUGGCACCUAGCGGUGCUUCCAGGACGUAAUUCUUCUGUGCAGCAAUGAGGAUAAUCCUCAAGUUACGGACCCAGUCCGUGUAAUUGCUACCAUCAUCUUUCAACUUUGCUUUCUCAAGGAACGCAUUAAAAUUCAACGGAACAACAGCACGGGCCAUCUAUCUACAAUCAACAUAGACAAGCAAAAUACUAUCAGGUACUAAGUUCAUGAUAAAUUAAAGUUCAAUUAAUCAUAUUACUUAAGAACUCCCACUUAGAUAGACAUCCCUCUAAUCAUCUAAGUGAUCACGUGAUCCAAAUCAACUAAACCAUGUCCGAUCAUCACAUGAGAUGGAGUAGUUUUCAAUGGUGAACAUCACUAUGUUGAUCAUAUCUACUAUAUGAUUCACGCUCGACCUUUCGGUCUCAGUGUUCCGAGGCCAUAUCUGCAUAUGCUAGGCUCGUCAAGUUUAACCUGAGUAUUCUGCGUGUGCAACUGUUUUGCACCCGUUGUAUUUGAACGUAGAGCUUAUCACACCCGAUCAUCACGUGGUGUCUCAGCACGAAGAACUUUCGCAACGGUGCAUACUCAGGGAGAACACUUUUAUCUUGAAAUUUUAGUGAGAGAUCAUCUAAUAAUGCUACCGUCAAUCAAAGCAAGGUAAGAUGCAUAAAAGAUAAACAUUACAUGCAAUCAAUAUAAGUGAUAUGAUAUGGCCAUCAUCAUCUUGUGCUUGUGAUCUCCAUCUCCGAAGCACCGUCAUGAUCACCAUCGUCACCGGCGCGACACCUUGAUCUCCAUCGUAGCAUCGUUGUCGUCUCGCCAACUUAUGCUUCUACGACUAUCGCUACCGCUUAGUGAUAAAGUAAAGCAUUACAGGGCGAUUGCAUUGCAUACAAUAAAGCGACAACCAUAUGGCUCCUGCCAGUUGCUGAUAACUCGGUUACAAAACAUGAUCAUCUCAUACAAUAAAAUAUAGCAUCAUGCCUUGACCAUAUCACAUCACAACAUGUCCUGCAAAAAACAAGUUAGAGGUCCUCUACUUUGUUGUUGCAAGUUUUACGUGGCUGCUAUGGGAUGAGCAAGAACCGUUCUUACCUACGCAUCAAAACCACAACGAUAGUUCGUCAAGUUAGUGUUGUUUUAACCUUCUCAAGGACCGGGCGUAGCCACACUCAAUUCAACUAAAGUUGGAGAAACUGACACCCGCCAGCCACCUGUGUGCAAAGCACGUCGGUAGAACCAGUCUCGCGUAAGCGUACGCGUAAUGUCGGUCCGGGCCGCUUCAUCCAACAAUACCGCCGAACCAAAGUGUGACAUGCUGGUAAGCAGUAUGACUUGUAUCGCCCACAACUCACUUGUGUUCUACUCGUGCAUAUAACAUCUAUGCAUAAAACCAGGCUCGGAUGCCACUGUUGGGGAACGUAGUAAUUUCAAAUAAAUUCGUACGCACACACAGGAUCAUGGUGAUGCAUAGCAACGAGAGGGGAGAUUGUUGUCCACGUACCUCGUAGACCGAAAGCGGAAGCGUUAGCACAACGCGGUUGAUGUAGUCGUACGUCUUCACGAUCCGACCGAUCCAAGUACCGAACGUACGGCACCUCCGAGUUCAGCACACGUUCAGCUCGAUGACGUCCCGCGAACUCCGAUCCAGCAGAGCUUCACGAGAGAGUUCUGUUAGCACGACGGCGUGGUGACGCUGGUGAUGUUGCUACCGACGCAGGGCUUCGCCUAAGCACCGCUACGAUAUGACCGAGGUGGAAUAUGGUGGAGGGGGCACCGCACACGGCUGGAAUAGAUCAACAGAUCAACUUGUGUGUCUAGAGGUGCCCCCUGCCCCUGUAUAUAAAGGAUCAGGGGGAGGAGGCCGGCGGCCAGGAGGAGGGCAUGCCAGGGAGGAGUUCUACUCCCACCGGGAGUAGGACUCCCUCUUUUCCUAGUUGGAGUAGGAGGGGGAAAGGAAGGGAAGGAGAGAGGGUGGAGGAAAGGGGGCGCCCCCCCUCCUUGUCCAAUUCGGACUAGAGGGGGAGGGGGCGCGCGGCCAGCCCUAGCCGCCCCUCCUCUUCUCCACUAAGGCCCAUCUUGGCCCAUUAAGCUCCCCGGGGGGUUCCGGUAACCCCCCGGUACUCCGGUAUAUGUCCGAAACUCCCCGAAACCAUUCCGGUGUCCGAACAUAGUCAUCCAAUAUAUUGAUCUUUAUGUCUCGACCAUUUCGAGACUCCUCGUCAUGUCCGUGAUCACAUCCGGGACUCCGAACUACCUUCGGUACAUCAAAACACAAAAACUCAUAAUACAAUCGUCAUCGAACUUUAAGCGUGCGGACCCUACGGGUUCGAGAACUAUGUAGACAUGACCGAGACACGUCUCCGGUCAAUAACCAAUAGCGGAACCUGGAUGCUCAUAUUGGCUCCCACAUAUUCUACGAAGAUCUUUAUCGGUCAAACCGCAUAACAACAUACGUUGUUCCCUAUGUCAUCAGUAUGUUACUUGCCCGAGAUUCGAUCGUCGGUAUCUCAAUACCUAGUUCAAUCUCGUUACCGGCAAGUCUCUUUACUCGUUCCGUAACGCAUCAUCUCGCAACUAACUCAUUAGUCACAAUGCUUGCAAGGCUUAUAGUGAUGUGCAUUACCGAGUGGGCCCAGAGAUACCUCUCCGACAAUCGGAGUGACAAAUCCUAAUCUCGAAAUACGCCAACCCAACAAGUACCUUUGGAGACACCUGUAGAGCACCUUUAUAAUCACCCAGUUACGUUGUGACGUUUGGUAGCACACAAAGUGUUCCUCCGGUAAACGGGAGUUGCAUAAUCUCAUAGUCAUAGGAACAUGUAUAAGUCAUGAAGAAAGCAAUAGCAGAGUACUAAACGAUCAAGUGCUAAGCUAACGGAAUGGGUCAAGUCAAUCACAUCAUUCUCCUAAUGAUGUGAUCUCGUUAAUCAAAUGACAACUCAUGUCUAUGGCUAGGAAACAUAACCAUCUUUGAUCAACGAGCUAGUCAAGUAGAGGCAUACUAGGGACACUCUGUUCGUCUAUGUAUUCACACAAGUAUUAUGUUUCCGGUUAAUACAAUUCUAGCAUGAAUAAUAAACAUUUAUCAUGAUAUAAGGAAAUAAAUAAUAACUUUAUUAUUGCCUCUAGGGCAUAUUUCCUUCAGGAAAGUCAUCCUGCUCAUGCCAGCUUCAUUUGUGGCACCAUCAAGCCUGCCAACGAAGAACUGGUGAUUGCAACAACCAUAUCCAUGCCCCAAGGUUAAGUGUUCUUAGCCAUUGUUAGUGAGAUUCUGGCUUAGACAACGACUUCAAAUCUGGUCUAGGAUCAAAGGUACCAAUGAGGUCGUUUCCUCUAGAAUAUAGUUGAAAAAUUCAUAGGCCUAUCUCUCCCUAAGUGGAAUGGCGGAAUGAAUGUCAAGGAAUAUCUAACUUUUCUUCUCUCCUUGCAGCAUGCUUAUUGGAAACAAAAAAGAGCCAUUUUCAAAUGGUCCAAAUUUGGUGAGAUCAACUCCAAAUUUCUACAGGCCAAAGCUACCAUCAAAUUUAGACAUAACCAGAUUUCUAUGUUGUAAGAUGAUCAGGAGGUAGAGCAAUCAAGUCAUGAGGCCAAAGUUUUUAUUCUCUAGAGAGCAUUCAGGCAAAGACUUGGUACUUCUACCUACUUUCAACCUAUUUAAUUGGGAUAACCUAAUUGAUAAGCAGGAUGAUCUCUCUUCUUUUGAAGAGCCUUUCACUAAGGAAGAAAUAGAUGAAAUGGUUAAGAGUCUGCCUGCUAACAAAGCAUCUCUAGACAUGAUGGAUUCGAUACUAAUUUUAUUAAAGCUUGUUGGCAUAUUGUUGUUGAAGAUUUCUAUGAGCUUACAAAUGAUUUUUACCAGGGUAAAGUUAAUCUUCAAAGUAUUAACUAAUAAUGCAUCACCUUGGUUCCAAAGGCAAACCCCUCUCAAGCUAGUGAAUUUAAGCCUUCUUCUCUCUUGAACUGCUCUAUCAAAAUCAUUACCAAGCUCCUGACUAGUAGGCUUCAAAGAUACAUAUUAUUGUGCAUGCCAACCAAUAUGGUUUCAUUAAAAGAAGAUCCAUACAAGACUGUGUGGCUUGGGCCUAUGAAUAUAUUCAUUACUGUCACCAUUUUGGUACAAAUAUUGUUUUGCUAAAUUGGAUUUUGAGAAAGUCUUUGACAUGAUUGGGCAUUAAACAAAUAAGCAGCUGAUGAUAGCAAGGGGAUUUGGUGAUAGAUGGUUGAUGUGGAUUGACAUGAUCUAACCCUCUGGAUAUUCUUCUAUCCUUAUAAAUGGUAUUCCUGGGAAGUGUUUUCUUUGCAAGAAGGGGUCAGGCAAGGAGGGGCCCUCUCCCUCCUCAUUUUUUCAUUAAUAUUGAUCUAUUACAAUCAAUUUUCAAUGAAGCCGGGACCAAUAAUCUAGUCAGAUUGUCCAUUGACUCUACAGCUUCCAUAGACUACCCAAUUAUCCAGUACGCAAAUGAGACAGUCUUGGUCCUACCUCCUUGUCUAGCCCAAAUGCAACAUGUUCAGAACUUACUCAUGCACUUUGCAGCUUAUACUAGCCUAGGAGUAAACUAUAAUAAAUCCUUAAUGGUGCCAACCAAUGUAUCAGAUCAUAUGUUUCAGCAGCCACAACUAUCUUUGGUUGUGUUCAAGGAUCACUACCCUUCACUUAUCUUGGCAUUCAUCUUUGUUUAUCUAAACCUAGAGUUGAAUACUUUGCCCUCUGCAUGCACAUGACUGAAAACGGGCUCUAGGGGUGCUCUACCUUUCUUUCUUGUGGAGAAAGGCUACAUCUUAUUAAAUCUGUGUUCACUAGUUUGCCCACCUUCUUCAUGUGUUCAUUAGAACUGGCCAAGACUAUUCUUGAGCAGAUUAACAAAUACUUGAGGCAUUGUUUCUGGAGAAAGUAUGGCAUGGAAGAUAGGGGAUCUUUUAUAAUUGCUUGGGACAAGGUUUGCUUGUCUAAAAAUCAUGGUGGGCUUGGAGUGUUGCAUGUUGCCACACAUAAUAAAUCUCGUUAAUCAAGCACUUGCACAAAUUCUUUAACAAGCUAGACUUGCCUUGGGUUCAUUUUUCAGCACUCUUACUACUCUAAUGGGCCCCCUAGUGGUGGUAUGGUUUGGUCCUUCUGGUGGAAAUGCAUUCUCAAUUUAAUUCUUGAAUUUAAAGUUGUGGCUUCUUGCUCUAUUGAAAAAGGCACGUCCACCUUAUUUUGGACGGAUAAUUGGAAUGAUGCUACUCUCAAUAAAGGAUUUCCUAAGCUCCACUAUUUUACUAUCAAUGAAAAGAUUUAUAAAUCAAGCAUGCAAUACCAAUAGUCUUGAUAAGCUCUUCCACAUGCCCCUAUCUACCGAAGCUCAUCGGCAAUUUGUGUUGCUCUAGGAGUUGAUGCUAAAUAAGCCUCUUUUGGUGGAUAAUGAAAUCUGGAUAUAUGUCGAGCUCUCAAAAAUAUACCCCUGCCAAAAUGUAUAAGACCCUUAGAGUUGGAAAUCCUGCCCAUUUCAUUUUCAAAAUGUUGUGGAAGAGUGCUCCUAUCCUCAACAAAUUUUCUUCUAGCUACUUCUUCAUGACAGGCAAAAUACCAAAAAUCUGCUUCAAAGGGAAUCCUUAUGGCUCGCUUCCUACUCUUGUGUGGUGUUUACUGAUGUUAAGGAAUAGACUGCCUUACAUCUUUUUGGGACUAUGGUUUUGCUCUAAGUUGUUAGGAUUCAGUCAUACUUAACAGAACAAGAAGCACUUCAGUUACCCAUGACACAGUGAUGGCUUUCUCCACACUCCCCUUUGAAACUGCAAAUGGAUAUCCUGGUAAUGGGCAGCUAGAACAUUUGGAUGCAAAGGAACAAUUUGAUCUUUCCUAACAUUAUACAAGUGUGCUUUCCUGGAAAUUUUUUUUAAAAAAAGACGUGCAGAUCAUGAGCGAGAGAAACGAGAACAAGUACAUCCCAAUUCUGCAUAGCUGGAUCGAAAGUCACCUUCAAGUUUAGUUGUCUUAUAUCUUUAUGAUUAUGUUGCCUAAGACAAGAAUCGACUGGAAGUUGAGCUCUGGCUCCUUUUAUUUUGUUUAUUUUAUUUUAUUUUUAACUUGUAUAUAUCGGCUACGCUUUCUCUGAUAUAUGAAAAUUUACCGUGGAACAAAAAACGAAUUCGCUCUCCCACAGUAUAGGAUCACGAGGGUGAUAGGUUAUGAAGACCUACUCUCUUGCUCGCCAGUGCACGUUGGUGUUUUGGAGUAGACUACUAUGACGACACGGCAAAAGGAAGCAAUGAAGGAAAUAUGCCCUAGAGGCAAUAAUAAAGUUAUUAUUUAUUUCCUUAUAUCAUGAUAAAUGUUUAUUAUUCAUGCUAGAAUUGUAUUAACCGGAAACAUAAUACAUGUGUGAAUACAUAGACAAACAGAGUGUCACUAGUAUGCCUCUACUUGACUAGCUCGUUGAUCAAAGAUGGUUAUGUUUCCUAGCCAUAGACAUGAGUUGUCAUUUGAUUAAGGGGAUCGCAUCAUUAGGAGAAUGAUGUGAUUGACUUGACCCAUUCCGUUAGCUUAGCACUCGAUCGUUUAGUAUGUUGCUAUUGCUUUCUUCAUGACUUAUACAUGUUCCUAUGACUAUGAGAUUAUGCAACUCCCGUUUACCGGAGGAACACUUUGUGUGCUACCAAACGUCACAACGUAACUGGGUGAUUAUAAAGGUGCUCUACAGGUGUCUCCAAAGGUACUUGUUGGGUUGGCGUAUUUCGAGAUUAGGAUUUGUCACUCCGAUUGUCGGAGAUGUAUCUCUGGACCGACUCAGUAAUACACAUCACUAUAAGCCUUGCAAGCAUUGUGACUAAUGAGUUAGUUGCGGGAUGAUGUAUUACGGAACGAGUAAAGAGACUUGCCGGUAAUGAGAUUGAAUUAGGUAUCGAGUGUUGGGGAUCGUAGCAGAAUUUUAAAAUUUCCUACACAUCACCAAGAUCCAUCUAUGGAGUAUACUAGCAACGAGGGGAAAGGAGUGCAUCUACAUACCCUUGUAGAUCGCGAGCGGAAGCGUUCCAAUGAACGGGGUUGAUGGAGUCGUACUCGCCGUGAUCCAAAUCACCGAUGACCGAGUGUCGAACGGACGGCACCUCCGCGUUCAACACACGUACGGAGCAGCGACGUCUCCUCCUUCUUGAUCCAGCAAGGGGGAAGGAGAGGUUGAUGGAGAUCCAGCAGCACGACGGCGUGGUGGUGGAUGUAGCGGGAUCCCGGCAGGGCUUCGCCAAGCACUAGCGGGAGGGAGAGGUGUUGCAGGGGGAGAGGGAGGCGCCAGGGGCUGUGGUCCUACUGCCCUUCCUCCCCCCCCCCCACUAUUUAUAGGACCCCUGGGGGCGCCGGCCCUGGGAGAUGGGAUCUCCAAGGGGGGCGGCGGCCAAGGGGGAAGGGGGGUGGCUUCCCCCCCAAGUCAAGUGGGGCGCCCCCCACCCCCAGGGUUUCCAACCCUAGGCCCAGGGGGAGACCCAAGGGGGGCGCCCCAGCCCACUAAGGGCUGGUUCCCUUCCCCUUUCAGCCCAUGGGGCCCUCCGCGAUAGGUGGCCCCACCCGGUGGACCCCCGGGACCCUUCCGGUGGUCCCGGUACAAUACCAAUAACACCCGAAACUUUCCCGGUGGCCGAAACUGGACUUCAUAUAUAUAAUUCUUCACCUCCGGACCAUUCUGGAACUCCUCGUGACGUCCGGGAUCUCAUCCGGGACUCCGAACAACUUUCGGGUUUCCGCAUACUCAUAUCUCUACAACCCUAGCGUCACCGAACCUUAAGUGUGUAGACCCUACGGGUUCGGGAGACAUGCAGACAUGACCGAGACGCCUCUCCGCUCAAUAACCAACAGCGGGAUCUGGAUACCCAUGUUGGCUCCCACAUGUUCCAUGAUGAUCUCAUCAGAUGAACCACGAUGUCGAGGAUUCAAUCAAUCCCGUAUACAAUUCCCUUUGUCAAUCGGCAUGUUACUUGCCCGAGAUUCGAUCGUCGGUAUCCCAAUACCUUGUUCAAUCUCGUUACCGGCAAAUCUCUUUACUCGUACCGUAAUGCAUGAUCCCGUGACUAACUCCUUAGUCACAUUGAGCUCAUUAUGAUGAUGCAUCACCGAGUGGGCCCAGAGAUACCUCUCCGUCACACGGAGACAAAUCCCAGUCUCGAUACGUGCCAACCCAACAGACACUUUUGGAGAUACCCGUAGUGUACCUUUAUAGUCACCCAGUUACGUUGUGACGUUUGGCAUACCCAAAGCACUCCUACGGUAUACGGGAGUUGCACGAUCUCAUGGUCUAAGGAAAAGAUACUUGACAUUGGAAAAGCUCUAGCAAACGAACUACACGAUCUUUGAGCUAUGCUUAGGAUUGGGUCUUGUCCAUCACAUCAUUCUCCUAAUGAUGUGAUCCCGUUAUCAAUGACAUCCAAUGUCCAUAGUCAGGAAACCAUGACUAUCUGUUGAUCAACGAGCUAGUCAACUAGAGGCUUACUAGGGACACGUUGUGGUCUAUGCAUUCACACAUGUAUUACGAUUUCCGGAUAACACAAUUAUAGCACGAACAAUAGACAAUUAUCGUGAACAAAUAAAUAUAAUAAUAACCAUUUAUUAUUGCCUCUAGGGCAUAUUUCCAACAGUCUCCCACUUGCACUAGAGUCAAUAAUCUAGUUACAUUGUGAUGAAUCGAACACCCAUAGCGUCCUGGUGUUGAUCAUGUUUUGCUCUAGGGAGAGGUUUAGUCAACGGAUCUGCUACAUUCAGGUCCGUAUGUACUUUACAAAUAUCUAUGUCUCCAUUUUGAACACUUUCACGAAUGGAGUUGAAGCGACGCUUGAUAUGCCUGGUCUUCCUGUGAAACCUGGGCUCCUUGGCAAGGGCAAUAGCUCCAGUGUUGUCACAGAAGAGAGUCAUCGGGCUCGACGCAUUGGGAAUCACCCCUAGGUCGGUAAUGAACUCCUUUAUCCAGACUGCUUCCUGUGCUGCCUCUGAGGCCGCCAUGUACUCCGCUUCACAUGUAGAUCCUGCCACGACGCUUUGCUUGCAACUGCACCAGCUUACUGCUCCUCCAUUCAAAAUAUACACGUAUCCGGUUUGUGACUUCGAGUCAUCCAGAUCUGUGUCGAAGCUAGCGUCGACGUAACCCUUUACGACGAGCUCUUCGUCACCUCCAUAAACGAGAAACAUAUCCUUAGUCCUCCUCAGGUACUUCAGGAUAUUCUUGACCGCUGUCCAGUGUUCCAUGCCGGGAUUACUUUGGUACCUUCCUACCAAACUUACGGCAAGGUUUACAUCAGGUCUGGUACACAGCAUGGCAUACAUAAUAGACCCUAUGGCCGAGGCAUAGGAGAUGACACUCAUCUUUUCUAUAUCUUCUGCCGUGGUCGGGCAUUGAGCCGUGCUCAAUUGCACACCUUGCAAUACAGGCAAGAACCCCUUCUUGGACUGAUCCAUAUUGAACUUCUUCAAUAUCUUGUCAAGGUACGUACUCUGUGAAAGACCAAUGAGGCGUCUUGAUCUAUCUCUAUAGAUCUUGAUGCCUAAUAUAUAAGCAGCUUCUCCAAGGUCCUUCAUUGAAAAACACUUAUUCAAAUAGGCCUUUAUACUUUCCAAGAAUUCUAUAUCAUUUCCCAUUAAUAAUAUGUCAUCCACAUAUAAUAAGAGAAAUGCUACAGAGCUCCCACUCACUUUCUUGUAAACACAGGCUUCUCCAUAAGUCUGUGUAAACCCAAACGCUUUGAUCAUCUCAUCAAAGCGAAUGUUCCAACUCCGAGAUGCUUGCACCAGCCCAUAGAUUGAGCGCUGGAGCUUGCAUACUUUGUUAGCAUUCUUAGGAUCGACAAAACCUUCUGGCUGCAUCAUAUACAAUUCUUCCUUAAGAAAGCCGUUAAGGAAUGCCGUUUUGACGUCCAUCUGCCAUAUCUCAUAAUCAUAGUAUGCGGCGAUUGCUAACAUGAUUCGGACAGACUUCAGCUUCGCUACGGGUGAGAAAGUCUCAUCGUAGUCAACCCCUUGAACUUGUCGAUAACCCUUAGCAACAAGUCGAGCCUUAUAGAUGGUCACAUUACCAUCCGCGUCUGUCUUCUUCUUAAAGAUCCAUUUGUUUUCUAUGGCUUGCCGAUCAUCAGGCAAGUCAGUCAAAGUCCAUACUUCGUUUUCAUACAUGGAUCCUAUCUCGGAUUUCAUGGCUUCCAGCCAUUUGUCGGAAUCCGGGCCCGCCAUCGCCUCUUCAUAGUUCGAAGGUUCACCGUUGUCUAACAACAUGAUUUCCAGGACAGGGUUGCGGUACCACUCUGGUGCGGAACGUGUCCUUGUGGACCUACGAAGUUCAGCAGUAACUUGAUCCGAAGCUUCAUGAUCAUCAUCAUUGACUUCCUCCCUAGUCGGUGUAGGCACCACAGGAACAUCUUCCCGCGCUGCGCUACUUUCCGGUUCGGAAGGGGUGACUAUCACCUCAUCAAGUUCCACUUUCCUCCCACUCAAUUCUUUCGAGAGAAACUCUUUCUCCAGAAAGGACCCGUUCUUGGCAACGAAGGUCUUGCCUUCGGAUCUGAGGUAGAAGGUAUACCCAAUAGUUUCCUUAGGGUAUCCUAUGAAGACGCAUUUCUCCGACUUGGGUUCGAGCUUUUCAGGUUGAAGUUUCUUGACAUAAGCAUCGCAUCCCCAAACUUUUAGAAACGACGGCUUAGGUUUCUUCCCAAACCAUAAUUCAUACAGUGUCGUCUCAACGGAUUUCGACGGAGCCCUAUUUAAAGUGAAUGCGGCAGUCUCUAAAGCAUAGCCCCAAAAUGAGAGCGGUAGAUCGGUAAGAGACAUCAUAGAUCGCACCAUAUCCAAUAGAGUGUGAUUACGACGUUCGGACACACCAUUUCGCUGAGGUGUUCCAGGCGGCAUGAGUUGUGAAACUAUUCCACAUUUCCUUAAGUGUGUGCCAAACUCGUGACUUAAAUAUUCCCCUCCACGAUCUGAUCGUAGGAACUUUAUUUUCCUGUCACGUUGAUUCUCAACCUCACUCUGAAAUUCCUUGAACUUUUCAAAGGUCUCAGACUUGUGUUUCAUUAGGUAGACAUACCCAUAUCUACUUAAGUCAUCAGUGAGAGUGAGAACAUAAUGAUAGCCACCGCGAGCCUCAACACUCAUUGGACCGCACACCUCGGUAUGUAUGAUUUCCAAUAAGUUGGUUGCUCGCUCCAUUGUUCCGGAGAACGGAGUCUUGGUCAUCUUACCCAUGAGGCAUGGUUCGCACGUGUCAAAUGAUUCGUAAUCAAGAGACUCCAAAAGUCCAUCUGCAUGGAGCUUCUUCAUGCGCUUGACACCAAUGUGACCAAGGCGGCAAUGCCACAAGUAUGUGGGACUAUCGUUAUCAACUUUACAUCUUUUGGUAUUCACACUAUGAAUAUGUGUAACAUCACGUUCGAGAUUCAUCAAGAACAAACCAUUGACCAGUGGGGCAUGACCAUAAAACAUAUCUCUCAUGUAAAUAGAACAACCAUUAUUCUCGGAUUUAAAUGAGUAGCCAUCUCGAAUUAAACGAGAUCCAGAUACAAUGUUCAUGCUCAAAGCUGGAACUAAAUAACAAUUAUUGAGGUUUAAAACUAAUCCCGUAGGUAAAUGUAGAGGCAGCGUGCCGACGGCGAUCACAUCGACCUUGGAACCAUUCCCGACGCUCAUCGUCACCUCGUCCUUCGCCAGUCUCCGUUUAUUCUGCAAUUCCUGUUUUGAGUUACAAAUAUGAGCAACCGCACCGGUAUCAAAUACCCAGGAGCUACUACGAGUACUGGUAAGGUACACAUCAAGUACAUGUAUAUCACAUAUACCUUUGGUGUUGCCGGCCUUCUUGUCUGCUAAGUAUUUGGGGCAGUUCCGCUUCCAGUGACCACUUCCCUUGCAAUAAAAGCACUCAGUCUCAGGCUUGGGUCCAUUCCUUGACUUCUUCCCAGUAACUGGCUUACCGGGCGCGGCGACUCCCUUGCCGUCCUUCUUGAAGUUCUUCUUGCCCUUGCCUUUCUUGAACUUAGUGGUUUUAUUCACCAUCAACACUUGAUGUUCCUUUCUGAUCUCCACCUCCGCUGAUUUCAGCAUUGAAUAUACCUCAGGAAUGGUCUUUUCCAUCCCCUGCAUAUUGAAGUUCAUCACAAAGCUCUUGUAGCUCGGUGGAAGCGACUGAAGGAUUCUGUCAAUGACCGCGUCAUCCGGGAGAUUAACUCCCAGCUGAGACAAGCGGUUGUGCAACCCAGACAUUCUGAGUAUGUGCUCACUGACAGAACUAUUUUCCUCCAUUUUACAGCUGAAGAACUUGUCGGAGACUUCAUAUCUCUCGACCCGGGCAUGAGCUUGGAAAACCAUUUUCAGCUCUUCGAACAUCUCAUAUGCUCCAUGUUUCUCAAAACGCUUUUGGAGCCCCGGUUCUAAGCUGUAAAGCAUGCCGCACUGAACGAGGGAGUAAUCAUCAGCACGUGAUUGCCAAGCGUUCAUAACGUCUUGGUUCUCUGGGAUUGGUGCUUCACCUAGCGGUGCUUCUAGGACAUAAUCUUUCUUGGCAGCUAUGAGGAUGAUCCUCAGGUUCCGGACCCAGUCCGUAUAGUUGCUGCCAUCAUCUUUCAGCUUGGUUUUCUCUAGGAACGCGUUGAAGUUGAGGACAACGUGGGCCAUUUGAUCUACAAGACAUAUUGUAAAGAUUUUAGACUAAGUUCAUGAUAAUUAAGUUCAUCUAAUCAAAUUACUCAAUGAACUCCCACUCAGAUAGACAUCCCUCUAGUCAUCUAAGGGCAACAUGAUCCGAGUUAACUAGGCCGUGUCCAAUCAUCACGUGAGACGGACUAGUCAAGAUCGGUGAACAUCUCCAUGUUGAUCGUAUCUUCUAUACGACUCAUGCUCGACCUUUCGGUCUUCCGUGUUCCGAGGCCAUGUCUGUACAUGCUAGGCUCGUCAAGUCAACCUAAGUGUAUUGCGUGUGUUCCGAGGCCAUGUCUGUACAUGCUAGGCUCGUCAACACCCGUUGUAUGCGAACGUUAGAAUCUAUCACACCCGAUCAUCACGUGGUGCUUCGAAACAACGAACCUUCACAACGGUGCAUAGUUAGGGGGAACACUUUCUUGAAAUUAUUAUAAGGGAUCAUCUUACUUACUACCGUCGUUCUAAGCAAAUAAGAUGCAAAACAUGAUAAACAUCACAUGCAAUCAAAUAGUGACAUGAUAUGGCCAAUAUCAUUUUGCUCCUUUGAUCUCCAUCUUCGGGGCGCCAUGAUCAUCUUCGUCACCGGCAUGACACCAUGAUCUCCAUCAUCAUGAUCUCCAUCAUCGUGUCUUCAUGAAGUUGUCACGCCAACGAUUACUUCUACUUCUAUGGCUAACGCGUUUAGCAAUAAAGUAAAGUAAUUUACAUGGCGUUAUUCAAUGACACGCAGGUCAUGCAAAAUAAUAAAGACAACUCCUAUGGCUCCUGCCGGUUGUCAUACUCAUCGACAUGCAAGUCGUGAUUCCUAUUACAAGAAUAUGAUCAAUCUCAUACAUCACAUAUAUCAUUCAUCACAUCUUCUGGCCAUAUCACAUCACAAGGCACAUGCUGCAAAAACAAGUUAGACGUCCUCUAAUUGUUGUUGCAAGUUUUUACGUGGCUUGUAUAGGUUUCUAGCAAGAACGUUUCUUACUUACGUAGAACCACAACGUGAUAUGCCAAUUUCUAUUUACCCUUCAUAAGGACCCUUUUCAUCGAAUCCGUUCCGACUAAAGUGGGAGAGACAGACACCCGCUAGCCACCUUAUGCAACUAGUGCAUGUCAGUCGGUGGAACCUGUCUCACGUAAGCGUACGUGUAAGGUCGGUCCGGGCCGCUUCAUCCCACAAUACCACCGAAACAAGAUAAGACUAGUAGCGGCAAGAAGAAUUGACAACAUCUACGCCCACAACUGCUUUGUGUUCUACUCGUGCAUAGUAACUACGCAUAGGCCUGGCUCAUGAUGCCACUGUUGGGGAUCGUAGCAGAAUUUUAAAAUUUCCUACGCAUCACCAAGAUCCAUCUAUGGAGUAUACUAGCAACGAGGGGAAAGGAGUGCAUCUACAUACCCUUGUAGAUCGCGAGCGGAAGCGUUCCAAUGAACGGGGUUGAUGGAGUCGUACUCGCCGUGAUCCAAAUCACCGAUGACCGAGUGCCGAACGGACGGCACCUCCGCAUUCAACACACGUACGGAGCAGCGACGUCUCCUCCUUCUUGAUCCAGCAAGGGGGAAGGAGAGGUUGAUGGAGAUCUAGCAGCACGACGGCGUGGUGGUGGAUGUAGCGGGAUCCCGGCAGGGCUUCGCCAAGCACUAGCGGGAGGGAGAGGUGUUGCAGGGGGAGAGGAAGGCGCCAGGGGCUGUGGUCCUACNNNNNNNNNNNNNNNNNNNNNNNNNNNNNNNNNNNNNNNNNNNNNNNNNNNNNNNNNNNNNNNNNNNNNNNNNNNNNNNNNNNNNNNNNNNNNNNNNNNNNNNNNNNNNNNNNNNNNNNNNNNNNNNNNNNNNNNNNNNNNNNNNNNNNNNNNNNNNNNNNNNNNNNNNNNNNNNNNNNNNNNNNNNNNNNNNNNNNNNNNNNNNNNNNNNNNNNNNNNNNNNNNNNNNNNNNNNNNNNNNNNNNNNNNNNNNNNNNNNNNNNNNNNNNNNNNNNNNNNNNNNNNNNNNNNNNNNNNNNNNNNNNNNNNNNNNNNNNNNNNNNNNNNNNNNNNNNNNNNNNNNNNNNNNNNNNNNNNNNNNNNNNNNNNNNNNNNNNNNNNNNNNNNNNNNNNNNNNNNNNNNNNNNNNNNNNNNNNNNNNNNNNNNNNNNNNNNNNNNNNNNNNCCCACCCCCAGGGUUUCCAACCCUAGGCGCAGGGGGAGGCCCAAGGGGGGCGCCCCAGCCCACUAAGGGCUGGUUCCCUUCCCCUUUCAGCCCAUGGGGCCCUCCGGGAUAGGUGGCCCCACCCGGUGGACCCCCGGGACCCUUCCGGUGGUCCCGGUACAAUACCGAUAACCCCCGAAACUUUCCCGGCGGCCGAAACUGGACUUGCUAUAUAUAAUUCUUCACCUCCGGACCAUUCCGGAACUCCUCGUGACGUCCGGGAUCUCAUCCGGGACUCCGAACAACUUUAGGGUUUCCGCAUACUCAUAUCUCUACAACCCUAGCGUCACUGAACCUUAAGUAUGUAGACCCUACGGGUUCGGGAGACAUGCAGACAUGACCGAGACGCCUCUCCGGUCAAUAACCAACAGCGGGAUCUGGAUACCCAUGUUGGCUCCCACAUGUUCCACGAUGAUCUCAUCGGAUGAACCACGAUGUCGAGGAUUCAAUCAAUCCCGUAUACAAUUCCCUUUGUCAAUCGGCAUGUUACUUGCCCGAGAUUCGAUCGUCGGUAUCCCAAUACCUUGUUCAAUAUCGUUACCGGCAAGUCUCUUUACUCGUACCGUAAUGCAUGAUCCCGUGACUAACUCCUUAGUCACAUUGAGCUCAUUAUGAUGAUGCAUCACCGAGUGGGCCCAGAGAUACCUCUCCGUCAAACGGAGUGACAAAUCCCAGUCUCGAUCCGUGCCAACCCAACAGACACUUUUGGAGAUACCCGUAUUGUACCUUUAUAGUCACCCAGUUACGUUGUGACGUUUGGCAUACCCAAAGCACUCCUACGGUAUCCGGGAGUUGCACGAUCUCAUGGUCUAAGGAAAAGAUACUUGACAUUGGAAAAGCUCUAGCAAACGAACUACACGAUCUUUGAGCUAUGCUUAGGAUUGGGUCUUGUCCAUCACAUCAUUCUCCUAAUGAUGUGAUCCCGUUAUCAAUGACAUCCAAUGUCCAUAGUCAGGAAACCAUGACUAUCUGUUGAUCAACGAGCUAGUCAACUAGAGGCUUACUAGGGACACGUUGUGGUCUAUGCAUUCACACAUGUAUUACGAUUUCCGGAUAACACAAUUAUAGCAUGAACAAUAGACAAUUAUCAUGAACAAAGAAAUAUAAUAAUAACCAUUUAUUAUUGCCUCUAGGGCAUAUUUCCAACAUCGAGAUACCGACGAUCGAAUCUCGGGCAAGUAACAUACCGAUGACAAAGGGAACAACGUAUGUUGUUAUGCGGUCUGACCGAUAAAGAUCUUUGUAGAAUAUGUGGGAACCAAUAUGAGCAUCCAGGUUCCGCUAUUGGUUAUUGACCGGAGAGGUGUCUCGGUCAUGUCUACAUAGUUCUUGAACCCGUAGGGUCCGCACGCUUAACGUUACGAUGACAGUUAUAUUAUGAGUUUAUAUGUUUUGAUGUACCGAAGGUUGUUCGGAGUCCCGGAUGUGAUCACGGACAUGACGAGGAGUCUCGAAAUGGUCGAGACAUAAAGAUUGAUAUAUUGGAAGCCUAUGUUUGGACAUCGGAAGUGUUCCGGGUGAAAUCGGGAUUUUUCCGGAGUACCGGGAGGUUACCGGAACCCCCGGGUAACUUAAUGGGCCUUANNNNNNNNNNNNNNNNNNNNNNNNNNNNNNNNNNNNNNNNNNNNNNNNNNNNNNNNNNNNNNNNNNNNNNNNNNNNNNNNNNNNNNNNNNNNNNNNNNNNNNNNNNNNNNNNNNNNNNNNNNNNNNNNNNNNNNNNNNNNNNNNNNNNNNNNNNNNNNNNNNNNNNNNNNNNNNNNNNNNNNNNNNNNNNNNNNNNNNNNNNNNNNNNNNNNNNNNNNNNNNNNNNNNNNNNNNNNNNNNNNNNNNNNNNNNNNNNNNNNNNNNNNNNNNNNNNNNNNNNNNNNNNNNNNNNNNNNNNNNNNNNNNNNNNNNNNNNNNNNNNNNNNNNNNNNNNNNNNNNNNNNNNNNNNNNNNNNNNNNNNNNNNNNNNNNNNNNNNNNNNNNNNNNNNNNNNNNNNNNNNNNNNNNNNNNNNNNNNNNNNNNNNNNNNNNNNNNNNNNNNNNNNNNNNNNNNNNNNNNNNNNNNNNNNNNNNNNNNNNNNNNNNNNNNNNNNNNNNNNNNNNNNNNNNNNNNNNNNNNNNNNNNNNNNNNNNNNNNNNNNNNNNNNNNNNNNNNNNNNNNNNNNNNNNNNNNNNNNNNNNNNNNNNNNNNNNNNNNNNNNNNNNNNNNNNNNNNNNNNNNNNNNNNNNNNNNAGGGGGCACCUCUAGACACACAAUUGAUCAUUGAUCUCUUAGCCGUGUGCGGUGCCCCCCUCCACCAUAUUACACCUCGAUAAUAUCGUAGCGGUGCUUAGGCGAAUCCCGGCGUCGGUAGAACAUCAACAUUGUCACCACGCCGUCAUGCUGACGAAACUCUCCCUCAACACUCGGCUGGAUCGGAGUUCGAGGGACGUCAUCGAGCUGAACGUGUGCUGAACUCGGAGGUGCCGUGCGUUCGGUACUUGAUCGGUCGGAUCGUGAAGACGUACGACUACAUCAACCGCAUUGUGUUAACGCUUCCGCUUUCGGUCUACGAGGGUACGUGGACAACACUCUCCCCUCUCGUUGCUAUGCAUCACCAUGAUCUUGCGUGUGCGUAGAAUUUUUUUGAAAUUACUACGUUCCCCAACAAGCAAAGCCCUGACUUGGUUUUAUAUAUCUUUGAUGGUUGCCGAUGAGUCUAUAUAUAGGAGAAUCGGCCUCAUAAUGCGAUCAUGAUCUAAACAAGGUAUCCAACUCGAAGACUACAGCAGCCAAGAAACCAAAAAGUAAAUGCAAAAGGAAGUCGUGCUCUUGCAAGACCACAAACUGAAUUUCAACAAGUCAUUCACACACAUGUCAAGCAGUACACAUAGGAACCCCCCCCUUUCCGACCCACGCGUCGCCUUGCUCUGGCGGCACGGGGGGAGGAACCCUAGUGUCUCCACCUUAUCUCCUCUCCCUUCCCCCACCCGUAUCGUCGCCGCCAGAGGGCGCCCACCGGCGAAGUCCGGCCCGGCCCAAGGAAGGCGGCGGCAGGGCGCUAGCCCUUGACGAUGCGGCACGACGAGGAGGGCAGCCACUUGGCCCGCCGGGGAGAUCUGCGUGCCCCGGAUCUGCUCAAUGCGUGUUUGCAGCAGCGAGGUGGAGGUGAAGGGCCGCACGCCCAUCCAACAGCGAGCACACGUGCUGGCUGUACGGUGGAGGUGAUGGGCGCUACCCAUGUGGCAUGGGGGCUAGGGGCGGUGCGGUCAUGCGCGUCCACGUUGUGGGGUGUUGCGGGGGGUGCAGGCUCCCCCAUCGCCACCCCCUCCCCGGCGGGCAGCCUCUAGCUUGGUGCAAUCAAAUCUGACGGGUCCUUAUCGGCCGAAUCUGGCGCCCUGGCGGCCGUUGUCCUAGAGGCGGCUCGGUCGGCGACUGACUCCUUAUGGUUGCGUGGUGGCUCUAGGUCAGGAUUGUGGUCUGCGGUAUAGUGGUCUUCGCAGGGCCUUCGGGCUGCUCUGGGAUUGCACCACCGGUGGUGCUCCCGCUAGUUGUGUGCGGUGCAACAAGUGGCGUCUGCUGCUCCGGUCUGGUGGUGGUGUGUUGGAGAAGUCGUCGUCCUCGGUAGAGGUGCUCGGUUCCCCGGUGAAAGUCAUGCUCGACUUCGGUCUGGGCUGAUGGCGAAUGAUGCUCUUGGGUGUGAUUUUCCUUGUUGGAGGCGCCAUCCAGGGGAUCUGACACCUCCUUGAUCCAUGUUCUUGCCUCCCGGUGAAAACCGUAUGCAAUGGUGGCACGUGUAGUGUCAUUACUUCGUUGGAAGCUUUGCUUUGGAGCAAGUCUGGUAAUGGAGCACUUAGUUGCUAGUGGUGCCGUGGAUCUAGAGCCGGCAGCGUUUGGGUGAGCGUCGAGUCGUUGGUGGUGCUUCCGUUUGGAGUCGGUUGUUUGGUCGAGAUGAGAGCAGCAGGGGCACCCUUCAUAUACAAGUAUCGUCGGGCGAGCUAUGUCAGCUAGCCUCGUGGGAUCGGAGCGGCAUAGAUUUUUGCUCUGUCGGACUUAUCAUUCCUCUCCAGUGUCAUUGAGGCUUGCGGAUAUCCUCGUGGCAGCUUGGUAUAAUGCGACGGUUGUCUGUGUGCACUCUGGUAGCAGCGAUCGACCGGGUGUGUUAUGGGUUUUCGCCUUCCGGCGUUUUGUAUGUAUUCUGGUGCUUUAGGUCUAGUCUAGCUAGGCGCUACUAUGGUGUUUACCCGGUUUUUCACAAUAAACUGACCAGCCCUGUUUUCCUUUCUUCUUCUUUUUUUGCACUUACUUUUAUGCGAUGCAUUCCUCUUUUAUGGGGGUGAUCAACGAAUUUGACAGCUCUCAUGUCAACAUUAGAAAAAAUCAUAUGUAUGUGCAUGCCUGUAUCCAUCACCCUGGCCCCGGCCCGUGCAUGGCACGACGAGGCGAGAGUGUGCGUGUGGCAUCACUUUCUAAGAGGGACUAAAGAUUACACAUACACCUCUUGCCAUGCAUGAGCUUUUGAAAUUUACGUGAGCAACUAGUUAACGAGUGCUCCUUCAGGAGCCUCGCAACGAUCAGCGCCACUUGGUGCGUUCUCAGCCGUUCACCACGUAUCGCGUUCUGGGUGCUUUCUUUGGAUUUUGUUUUUUUGUUUUUUUCGCAUGCGUUUUUGGCUUUUUAAACGGGUUUUUUGGGGGGUUUUGGCAUUUCAGUUUUUCACCUGUCUUCCUUAGCUUUUGGAUAAAUUUUUUGAAAAAAACAAUUUUUGCGCAAAAAACGCAUUUUUUUUCUUUCGCGUGAGCCACUGUUUUGCUUUCACGAGAGGCACGGGUUUGCUUUCGCGAGAGUCACGGCAGUGCCUCUUGGAAACGGAAAAAAUGUGUUUUCUGUUUUUUUCCUUUCGCGAGUCACGAUUUUGCUUCCGCGAGAGGCACGGUUGUGCUUUCGCGAGAGUCACAGCCGUGCCUCUCGAAAACGAAAAAAACGUGUUUUCUGUUUUUCUUUCUUUCGUGAGAGACACGGUUUUGCUUUCGUGAGAGGCACGGUGGUGCUUUCGCGAGUGUCACGGCUGUGCCUCUCGAAAACGAAAAAAACGCAUUUUCUGUUUUUUUUUCACGAGUCACGGUUUUGCUUCCGCGAGAGGCAUGGUUGUGCUUUCGUGAGAAGUAUGGUCGUGCCUCCUCGGAAACGAAAAAAAACGUGUUUUCUUUUUUUUCGCGAGAGUCGCGGUUUUGCUUCCGCGAGAGGCACGGUUGUGAUUUCGUGAGAGGCACGGGCGUGACUCUUUCGGAAAGGAAAAAACCCGUCCUCCUGGUCCGGUUUUUUCGUCAGGUUUUUUCAUAAAAAAAAGUUCGUCAAAAUCUAUCAACAUGGGAUCUAGUUUUGAAGAUCUUGACGCGAGGAAUCCACCAGUGAAAGCGGUUCGAGAUUUGGACGCACGAUUUAAUAGAUAAAACAUUUUGAAUAAUGGAUCUACGGAAAAAGGGAAAACUCCCGGGUUGCGACAAAUGGCGCACAUGCAGCGCGCCACUUGUCGCAACCUGGGAAAAGUUGGAGUGAUCUUUGCAAUGAGUACUCCUCAACUAGUGAUUUUGGAAAUUUACUGAAUUUACUCUGUAUUCCCCUAGGCGAGGCCCACUAAUUCUAACAGAAACGACCAUAUCAUAUCAGUUACGGAACCGGAUCCUCUCACAGUGAGAAGGAAAGUUAGAGAAGCUAUAAUACGCUAACUUUCCUUCUUUCUAUCCAUACGAUUAUGGGUAAAAUGACUUAAAUUAAUUUGCAAAUUGAUGAUCUAUUGUGUACAUUUAUAGUAACUAGUCAAUGUGUACGUGCAAUGCACGUUAAUUUGGAAGUAUAUUAAGUGUAUGUCGAUAUUAAGUAGGAUAUUAUUUGUGUAUUAUUAUGUGAUUAGCAUUAUUUUUGGCAUGAAAUUAACUGCACGUUAAACAUGUUAAGCGCUCGACAUUGAAGCAGUCUAGGUCGUUGGAUUGACAUGAUUUGAUGGCCGAGAUUAAUUAGAUCUGCCUCUUUGGGUCUUUUUAUAUUGGUAUAGAUUACAUACAAACAAAUUGAUGGUGAAAUAAAAUUAAUUAAAUUAUUUAUAUUUAUAAUAGAUGUCAACAUUAAACAACCUACUGACAGUCCCUCACUUCCCUUCUUCAUUUUGUACCAGACUAACAUGUAGCACCGUGACUUUCCUUCAUAAUGUUAGAGGAUCCGGUUCCAUCAGUUACCAUGAAGGAACAAUUCUCAAAUAAAAAAUAAAAAAAUGAAGGAGCGAACGGUGGAAUGCAUCUGCUCUGCUCCGAGCCGUCGACACGCUUGCGACUCGCUCAGGCCCCUACCCCUUGUCCAACAAACCGGUGCAGUCCUUCCUCCGCCCCACCGAGGUCGUCCUGUCGUGUACAGCGCGUUGGCGACGGACACGAAGGCCGGUGGAAGUCCAAGGCGAGAGCGCUGCUGAAGCUGCUCAAAUCCAAAUCAAUUACAGUUAAGGUAUUCACUAGAGUUAGUGUUUGGAAGUUAAUGUUGCAGUUAAAGACUUGGAUGUUUUUGUAAGUUCUGCACCAAGAAUCUCUGCCAAUGUCAUGGUAGUAUUCAAUAAUGUUCUGCCAAUAUUGCAGUUAAAUGUGACUCUGUAAGGUUGAUAGUCAUUAAAAAUUACUCGGAUUUGUUUCUGACAUUUUUGUUCUAUCAAAUAAGUAACUGCACUUAGAGCAACUCCAAUGGGACGACCCAUUUCGUCCGCGGCCGUCCGUUUGGAUCGGCGCGGACAAAAAAAUCGGCCUAACGCGCCGAUCCAAACGGACGCGCGUCCGAUUUCGUCCGCCUGCCGACCCAUUUCCGGCAUAUUUUUGAGCCUGAUUUGCGUCGGUGCGGACACAAGACGGACGCGCGCGCGCUCGCCCUCUUUCCUCACCGGGCGCGCUGGUCGGUGGCACAUUGGAUUCACACCCUCGCCCACCUGCUACGUCGCUGACGCCGCCGGCCAUUUUUUCAAAUAAAAAUGGAUACAUAGAUAGUUCUAGCGUACACAGAUAAAAGAAAAGACCACUAUUCGUCGCUUUCUGACUCCGACUCGAUAAUGUCUUCCUCCGACGUCUGAAUGUAGGCGUCAGCAAGCUGCUCGUCUUCAAAGUCCCAACCCGACGUUUCUCGUAGCUUCAGUUUCAAUUGAGCUGCCUGCUUCCGCGAACGCUUGUCCUCCCGAUAGGCGGCUCGCUCCCUCCUCCUCGCGUCCCUCUCCAACCUCCUUUGCUUGUAGAACUGGCGCUCGUCGACGAUGUCCUGCGGGAAGCCUCCGCGCCACACCACCAAGGCUUCCACGUCCUUCUCCACGAUGGCGAGGCGACGCUGCCGCCUCCGGUGGACACGACGAUCCUCGUCGGUGAAAAGCCGCGGGAGAGGCGCCAGAUCCUGGGCCCGCUGGCUCGACACGUUGGGAAAAUUCAUAUCCCGACGAGGCCUCAGGAGGCGCCACGCCGCCGCGUCGUGCGCGCGGGCCGCCUCCUCUGCGGUGUCGACGGUACCGAGGAUGAGACGUUUCUCGCGAAACCAGAUCUCGGAGUAGAAGGCGCCGGAGCGGCGCUCGCGGACUCCACGAAAAUCCAAAGCGCGCAGGCGGCGGAUCGACAUGGUGGCGCAGAGGCGGCGAGAGUGGGCGGCGGACAGAGUGUGGAGGGAGCGCCUUCUUUAUAACGAGCGCCGGCCGCGGCGCGCGCGCGAACUUUUCCCGCGCGCUGGAGCGCCAAAACCAGCGCGCGCUAGGCCGCUUUCCCCCGCGCGCACGAACCUUUCCCGCGCGCUGGAGCGCCAAAACCAGGGCGACGGCAUGAUAUAAAACGCGCGCGGUCAUGAAAUGGGUCGGCCCGUUGGGCGCACUGCCGACCCAAAACUAAAAGACGGCGGAAGGCGGGCAGGCGGCCGACCCAAACAGACAAAAAGCGGACAAAAACGCCGUCCGUUUGGAUCGGUCCGUUGGAGUUGCUCUUACUAACUUUUGUUUCUGUCAAAUAACCAUCUGUUGCUGCACGAGCUUUACGAUCUAUUCUAGAGUUCUAGUGGCUGCUCAUCUGCUUAUGAGUACUACAUAUGUAGCUGUGGUUUCCUACAGCUGGAGACCGGCUUCAUCACUGCGACUAAUCGAUUACUGUUAUCCACAGGAACCAGUCAACACGCUUCUAAUCUGCCUCUGAACACUGACAACAAACGUAUGGUUACUAGUAUUAUCCUAGUGACAGAUUUGUAAGCCUGUGGCUUCAGCAAACUAAAACUCUAGUGGAAUGUAAAUAAAUAAAUUUGAAAAACAAGAGGAACCACCAUAAAAAAUAUGGAACCAGAGCAAUUCUUUGUGGGUCACACCCGAUUAUUUUCAGACAAAUAAAUUGGACCAAGUUUUUUUUCUCUUUAUUGGAGAUCAGAGAAGAAUUCCAGGAUGAAUUGUUCACAAUGUCAAGAUCAGGAUUUCCCACAAAAGUUGAUGAUGUUCCAGUUGCAUAUUUUCUACCAGAAUGAAACAAGGUUGAAAAAAAAAUGCAGAACUAGACAACUACAGUGCGGACCAAAGCCAUAGUAAAACAAAGGAACACAAACCCAUAAAGCGUUGAGAUUGAAUCUACCACUCUGCAGAACCAAACUGCAGGGUUCUUCCAGCUCUAUACACAAAAGAUUUAACUUCAGCUGUCACUCGAUUUCUUCAAUUCCUCCAAUACUAGAAGCCGAUAUUAAACAAACAUAAGCAGACAUGAUGUUUUUCUCAGAUUGGAAUUAACUUUUCAUUGCAGCGAAACGAAACGAUAGGAGUUACAACUAGAAGUUGGAUCUCACUAGACAAACUACAGAAACAAGCAUAGCCAGCGCACUGGAUUCACGACGGGGGGGAGUAAGACUACAGAGCAAAGCAGGAAACAGCAGUGUCAGCCAGCGGCAGCGCGCUGAUGGCGCUCAGCCGCCGAAGCCGUAGAGGGUGCGGCCCUGGCGCUUGAGGGCGUACACGACGUCCAUGGCGGUGACGGUCUUGCGGCGGGCGUGCUCGGUGUAGGUGACGGCGUCGCGGAUGACGUUCUCGAGGAAGAUCUUGAGGACGCCGCGGGUCUCCUCGUAGAUGAGCCCCGAGAUGCGCUUCACACCGCCCCUCCUGGCCAGCCUCCGGAUCGCCGGCUUGGUGAUGCCCUGGAUGUUGUCCCGGAGCACCUUCCGGUGGCGCUUGGCGCCGCCCUUGCCGAGCC